CAAUCUUCGGGGAGGGCUGUCGCUCACUGGCAGAGCACGUGUGUUGUAUGCAAAAUGUCCUGGAUUCAAUCCUUGGCUUCUUCAGGUAGGGCUGGGGGAAAAUUCUGUAUUGAGAGUCACUGCCAGAUGGAGGCCAAUAGUCCACUUUUUGCAUAUGACAGCUUUUUGCAUUCCAUAUUACUCUUGUCUUGCAUUGCAUUGCUGUUGUUUGAGGGAUUGCUCAAACACUGAUUUUAACCUUGAAAGCCUUUGGGGUACAGGUCACAUCUGAGGCUCUGAUCAUGGUCCUGCCCAUACAUGAAAUCUGAUGGGCAAGUACCCAUGACAACUUUUCGGUGGUGGCAGUACGAUUUUCAAAUUCCUUUCUCUCAGCGGAUACACCAAACUCCUCUUCUUUUGAUAUCGAGACAUUUUGGUUCUUGAGUUUUUAGCGCUUGCUAUGUCUGGCUUUUUAAUCUGGUGUUUCUGAUUUUGUUUUAUCUGCUGCUGUUUUAAAGCUUCUUUUGUUACUUUUAAUGUCAUGUUUUUAUUUUGUGUAACUUACACAAGGUUAAAAACAAUCACUCAAUAUUUGUGUUCUAUGCACUAUUUUUUAAUAUAUAGACUUGCACCAUUGCAAAUUUGAAUCAGCUCUAAAAUUGACUGAUAUAUUAUUUAUUUUAAAAUGUUUUUAUACCCAGUGCUUUUUUCUGGGGGUACGCAGGGGUAUGCAUACCCUUAAACAUUUUGUGACUCUAACAGGAGAAGAAACUAAUUUUUUAAAGAAGUUUCUUCUCUAGCACGCUGAAUCAUCAGUUCCGUUGUUACCCCGAUGUCCAUUUACUAUAUUUAUUUUCCCCAAUUUGAACUAUAAAAUGGUGAUUUUCUUGAGUCAAAAUGAGAAUACCCCUAAACAUUUUUUAUUUAAAAAAGCACUGUUUAUACCACUUUGUAUAUAACAAUCACAAUGUGGUAUACAUCACAAUGUAAAAAUCACAAUAAGUAUACAAUCCUUAUCAUUUAUGGAGAAUAAUUUUCCAUGCUUGCUCUUUGUAAGGGUACAUGCAUGCUAUCUGAACUUAAGCGCACUGUUGGUAUAAUUACCUUCCAGGUAAUUAAUUUACCUAUUGUAAAAAUUUGUGCGAUGAAGUAGAUAGUUGGUGUGCAGUAUUGAGGCUGCAAUAUUAAGCACACUUACCAGGGAGUAAGUUCCACAGAAGUCAGUGAGACUAACUACUGAAUAAAAAUUAAUAAGAUUGCACUGUUAAACCAAGAGAAGCUUGGUGUAAGUUCUGAUGCAGAUAAAAUUAGAAACUUCCAUGUAUCUAUCUCUGUCUAUGACUAGAAUAAGCCCAUUUCAAAAGUUGUAAAUAUAAAAGUAUAAUUGUGAGAUGUGAUGUUUGUUUGCCACAUAUACAUAACACAGAGAGAUUGGAUUUCACCAGGUAUUGCCUUUUAUAUAUCAAGCAUGCCAUGGAAUGUCCUGUCCUGGGAGAAGCAUAUGGCUUCCUCUUUGACAGUCUUAAGACACUUGAUGAAAAUUCCCUAUUAGCCCUUGGCUUUUAGCUUGAAGUUUUUGCUGGGUUUUUUAAAAAAAGUAUUUUUAUGAUUGACGUGGUAUUGUAUAAUGUAAGCUGCACUGGGCAUUUUAGAUAUGAAAUGGAAAAGCGGGACAGAAAUAACACACAAAGCCACCAUCUGGAAAGCACACUGAGAGAAUCAAACUUCUUCCUUGCACAGAAUUAAUGUGCGCUAUGGAAAAAACCACAGAGCCUAGGACUUGCCGAUCAGAAGGUUGGCGGUUCGAAUCCCUGCGACGGGGUGAGCUCCCGUUGCUCAGUCCCUGCCAACCUAGCAGUUCGAAAGCACAUCAAAGUGCAAGUACAGUGGUGCCUUGCAAGAUGAAAUUAAUCCGUUCCACAAGUCUCUUCGUCUUGCGGUUUUUUCGUCUUGCGAAGCAUGGCUAUUAGCGGCUUAGCGGCUUUAAGAAAAAGGAAACAAACUCGCAAGAACUUGCAAGACGUUUCGUCUUGCGAAGCAAGCCCAUAGGGAAAUUCGUCUUGCGGAACAACUCAAAAAACACAAAACCCUUUCAUCUAGCGAGUUUUUCAUCUUGCGAGGCAUUCGUCUUGCGGGGCACCACUGUAGAUAAAUAGAUACCACUCCAGCGGGAAGGUAAAUGGUGUUUCCAUGCGCUGCUCUGGUUCGCCAGAAGCGGCUUAGUCAUGCUGGCCACAUGACCGGCUCUCUCGGCCAAUAAAGCGAGAUGAGCGCCGCAAGUCAUGACUGGACCUAAUGGUCAGGGGUCCCUUUACCUUUACCUUUUUAUUGAAAAAACAUGUAAAUUAAAUAGUGCCAAUUUAAAUAUGAUGCCGCCGUUUCCCUAAUCUAUGCACAAUAGUUGUAUCUAAGCAAGCAUAAACAGUUGUUCCCUGACUAAUAGCUACACAGCUCCUCAGGAAAUGUUAGUUAGCCAUAUUUGAAUUUGGUUUGUAUGAAGUCUGACCUUGAAUCUGAUCGUUAAGGGAGGGUUUCUGCAGUGUGCAAGUUUAGAAAUUAGACCUGUACUAUAUGUAAUCAAAGGGCUUCUAAUAUGCCAUUAAUGGGCUUCUGUCAUAUGAUAUGAGCUAUAAUAACUCCAGGGGACGCGGGUGGCGCUGUGGGUUAAACCACAGAGCCUAGGGCUGCCAACCUAGCAGUUUGAAAGCACAUCAACGUGCAAGUAGAUAAAUAGGUACCGCUCCAGCGGGAAGGUAAACGGCGUUUCCGUGCACUGCUCUGGUUCGCCAGAAGUGGCUUAGUCAUGCUGGCCACAUGACCCAGAAGCUGUACGCCGGCUCCCUCGGCCAGUGAAGCCAGAUGAGCGCUGCAACCCCAGAGUCAUUAAUGACUGGACCUAAUGGUCAGGGGUCUCUUUACCUUUACAAUAACUCCAGAUUUGAUCCAAGAAGCCUUAGUCCAGAAUUACAAAUCAGCAGCAAGAUAUUAUUCCUGCUGUUGAAAUAAUUCAUCUGGGUGGGUCAAGUAAUGUCUGUUUUGCACAUGUUUGGAGAGUAAUGCAACUGUUUUGACGAAAAGUGUGAAUUCUUAAUCUGUAGGAAAUGGUUUUCAGUUGUUUGACUUGCAUGUGACUAUAUAGUUUGAGUAUAAUACUGUAUAUGUUAUCAGUACUUGCACACUAAUGGUGCUUAUUAUCUUUGUAUUACAUUAUGAUUACAUUACAGAAAGCUGUGUAUUGCUUCCAGUGUCUCUUUCCAUGUUUACAAAAGUAAACAUUUAUAUAAGUAGACUUUGUUAUUAAUUCUGCUAUAUCUAUCUAGGGGAGCGUUAUUGUAUGGUUCUUCAGAGGCCAAGGAACGCCAGAUGAAAUGGUUUUAUUAAAAUUAUUUUAGUAGCAGCACGUAUAUAGUAUGAGGUCUACCAGGAAUCAUUCACAGCAAGUUAGCUUUUAGAGGGAGUGAGAGUUCUGACUGAAACAAGAGUUUGGAUCUGUUCCAGAUUAUGCAGUGUUAGAACUACUAGAAAAAUAUGGAGUGGACUUCUAAACAUUGCAGCUGCCAGAAUCAAAAUUGCAGAAUGCUACAUCUCCAAAUGUUGCAGGAGGUAAGAUAGCAAUGUCUACUGCCUGCCUUCUUUCUCACUGGCUCUCUGUGUGGCAUACUGGGAGCCCUAAUCAAUUCCAGUACGCUGGGGAGAGGGGGAACAGAACCAAAGAGGAAAUGGGCAGGAGAAGUCACAGUUGCUUUAUUUUUGGUUGCUGGAAGAGAUUAUGUUCACCAACUUGGAUCCUGGCAGCCCAAAUGGCAGCUUCUCGUGCUUGGGUAGAAUAGUCCAUAACUUGGGAACACAGAAAAUAUCCUGGCAGGGAGGUGGAUAUAAAUCCACUGGAUUAUGAACUGGAUAUAAAUCAAAAGCCGGAUAAAAUAAAUACAGUAAGUAAUAAAUAAUCAAUAAUCCUGCUCUUGUACUCAAGAAGAAAUAAAUAGGAAGAACAUUUAAUAAACUGAGCAGCACCAAUUGCAUGCCUAGAUGUCAAGCAGAUGAAUAAACAUCAAGACAAUGGACCUUGGCUAAUUUGUUUUGCAAUUUCCCUUUUUAUCAUAACCUAAGGAGGCAGCUAUAAUGACUGCUUUUGGUUAACAAUAGGUGCAUUAUCCAUUAUGUUUUACUUGUAAAGUGGCAUAUAAAGGAGUGCAAUGGGCUUAGGUCACCUGCCUCUACAGGGGAUUAAAAAGGGUAAAAAAAUCUGUCUUUAAUCCUUUCGUUCUCCUAGAUGCUCACUUGGCAAAAGAUGCAUUUCAUCAGAUGCUGAAAGCCAUUCCAAGGUGUCUUGCCAAAUAUUGGCCAUGGUAGAGUUACUAAAAGAUGUGUAGUAACAAUAAAGCCAGUGUGUCUCCAGUGAGGGCAGUGUGGAUGUGUCACUCCCAGGGCUGAAUUCACUCCAGUAUUUUAACCUGAUUAUCUGCUGGAAAAACUAGGGCAGGGGGAGCCUCUGUACUGGGGUGUUGUUAGGGGUUUUUUGGGGGGGGGCUGUUGUUGCUGUUAUUGGCUUUUUUGUAUUUUUAUUUUUAGAUCUUGUGAUCUAUGUGGAAAUGGUUCAGCUUGGUUGUGUGUUUUUCGAUGUUUUAUUUAUGACUACUUUUGUUACGUUGUGGUCAUGUGUUUUUCAUGUUGUAAGCUGCCUGGAGCAUGGUUUGAACCACAGAAAGUUGGUGCAGAAAUAAAAUUAGGUGUGCAUGUAUGUAUGUACCACUUGGCAGUGGAGUUUGUCCUUGUUCAGUGUUAAAUCUUUUUUGGGUGGAAGUUCAUUAGAAGUGUGUGUUUCAGGUACCAGAGGAAGGAAAUGUCACCAUCCAGGUGAUCACGGUUAACAUUAGUUCCAUGUACGUCUAGUAAACAUGAAGGUAGACUCCCUUAGAAAACCAUAAAACUGUUCUGCCAAGAUGGUACCAGGAAGCCCACCUCUCUUGUCGCUCCCCGUUUAAAAGGUCCAUCUGGUCCCGAUUAAUUGCUGAUCAGGUAGCAGUUUCAUUGUUAUAGCUUAGAAGGGUGUUAAGAGAUCUGGAAGUGGGUGCUCAUGAAUUAUUACCCCAGACUAGGCUUUAUGCUCAACAGUCCUCAUACAGGUAAUGACUGGUGGCGGCUAAUUCAUUGAUCUGUCUCUCACUGCUGCAGACUUUGUUAGCUCAGCAGCCAAAUUGCUCUGCAUGGAGUGUUUAUCAGGGAAUCUGUGUCUGCAACCUCUCUCCCUGUUUUAAAAUAACAGCUAGCAAUGGCCUUCUAUUCACUUGCAAAUUCCUCAUUAGGUCUUUAGUAAGAGGUGUGGAGUGAAAACCCCUCCCCCAAUCCCCAUCCCUCCCACUCUGAGAACAGUGAAUUAAUUACAAUAAUGUUAUGAAUUACAUUAUCUAUCCUGGCAUAGCAAGCAGUGUUUUAAAACACAAUCUGUUGCACAUGGAUUGGGACCAGAUGGCUACAAAGAGCGCUGGAAAAAAAAAAAAAGUUUGGCUCAAAAUGCCGCAUUUGCAGCAAAGAUAUGGUACCUCUUUUGCUAUUUAUACCCAGAUGUGUCAAUUUUUAAAAUUAACUUCAGGAGUCGUCCCUGCCCCUGCCCCCAGCUCUAUUUGCUUGCAAUGGCAUUUGCUGUCUGAUGCUUCUUGUUACUUGUGGACCACUCCAGCUUUCCAUGAAGACAGUGGAACAUCCUAUAAUUACUUGGGAAGGAGGCAUCUCUAUCUUGUGAUUUUGUUGAUGGCUGUACUUGACUGGUGUUUUGAUGAACACAAGGAACAGAUUGUUUUCACUAAGCUGUGAUGGGGGGGCGGGUUCACUGCAAAAGAACAAAACCAAAACAAAACUGAGAGAUUUAAGACAGAACUACAGAAGUUUUCUUUACCAGAGUAGUUAUUCCUCAUAAAAUAUCAGUAGCAGUAGCAUUCUUUAGCAACCAAAAGUGCAUUGGACCAGCCUUAUGGUUCUGCAUGUGAGGAAGAGUACAUGUGGCCCUUGGAAAGGUACACACAGAAAUAAUAAUAAGGAGGAGUAUUGUUUUUGUUUGUAAUUAUGGUAUGCAACAACAACAACUGCCAAAUUAUAUCCAGUGUGUAACCAGUAUGGAGCUCUGCAAUUUAUCGUACUGGUAGGAACAGCUAUCCUUUGCAAUAGUAAUGUGAUUUUUCUGUGAGCUGAGCUUGGUGUGUUCCUUCCAUAUCAUCUUCCAAAAUAAGAUUUGCCUAUUCUAGUUUGAAAAUGAGACCCUUCCCCCCUCACCUCUCUUUGGGGAAGGGCCGGAGCUAAGUGGUAGAGCAAGGUCUUUGCAUGCAGAGGGUCCCUGGCUCAAUCCUAAAUAUCUACAUGUAAAGGCUAGGAGACACUCGUGCCUGAAACCUUGGAAAGUCACUACUAGUCACUGCAGAAGGAGCUAGGCUGACCAAAGGUCAGACUUAAAAUAAAGCAGCUGCUUCCUAUGUUCCUUUCAUAUUCUGUGCAAUUGAUGAGUUUGAAAGAGACAGAAAGGUAGCUUUAAAAAACAGGUGCUUAGAUGUAAGCAUGUAGAAUGCUAGUGAAGAGAGGUGUGCAAAAAACCCGAAAUAUCUAAAGCUGUGAGGAACAGUGCAAUAUUUCUAUGAGAGCAUGUAAAGCCAAAAGCACUAGAUGCAAAUACAGCAUAAGCAAUGCUAAGCAACCCUCACUAAGAGAGAAGCAGAUGACUCUGCCUUAGUCAUAUUUCUUGCAAGGGCAGCGAGCAAAAAUGCACAUCCUUGGAAGCCUAAGGCGGUAUGUUUGGGAUUUCCUCCCUCUUCCACUGGUGUAGGAAACAAUACUUUACAUGAGAGCAGAAUAGUCAUUUAGAUUCUACUUAAAAUCAUGGCUAGGUGCUCUUGGAUAUUUUCCAAGUAACAGACUGGCACAGUUCCCCAUCUGUCUAUUAUUUACAAAAUCUAAGGACCCCCUUUGCAUAAAAGAGAUGACUUUGGAAGGAGUAGGGAGGGAGGGUAAUAGCCAAACCCAGUGAAGCUGAAAUCAACCAUGAGGUUCUAACCCAGGGAACACCCAGGACUGAAGAGGAAGGAAGAGGGUUUCCUGGGAAAGAAAGAACUUUAUUGACCUUUAAAAACUAACCUAAACAGCCAGAGUUGGCUCUAUUGUCUGAGGGAGGCUUAAUCCAAUGGAAGCUGAGAGGGGGAAAUGAAAUAAAUAUCAGAGAACUAUAAUACAAACCACAAACACCACCCUCACCCAGUGUUGUAGUUUGUCCCCUGCUGAGAACAGACCCCCUAUUGUGGAAGGCACAUCAGAGACACAGCUUGUACCCAAAAGCUUAAAGCUGGAAUACAGUUGAUCCCAAUUAAUUCACAUUCUACCUGUAGCAAUGCAUCCCUAUUUGUUGGGUCCCUAGAUAAUUACUAGUAACUUCCUUAAAUUAUUAUGUUCCUCUCACUUUUUUAAAAAAAAAAAUCAGCUGUGAUGUUCAUUAGUGUGUGUGUGUUGUCUGCAUACAUUUUUAAAAAAUUACCCCUUUGAGGUAUAAAAUGAGGGAACAAUUUGAAACAAUGCGAGAGAUCUCAAAGGAACAAAGCAGCACAAAUAGUGGGUUAUUCAUGCAUGGUGGGCUAUUGAUUUUUGUAAAUGUUACAUGUGUGUACAGUGUGCCAAGGACCAUUUGUUUUAAGUAUCUUAAUUAUUCAGGUUUGCACAAGCAUUUAUCCUCUUCCCUUCUUCUCUUCUGAUUUGAUAUAACUGGGACAAUAUAGGACAUGAACAGGCCUGGUUCCUCAGCCUGAGCAGUUCUUCACUCAAGAAGCCAAUACAUACCUUUUUCAACAUCAUCUUCGAUGGACUGGUCAUGUUGUUUGGAUUCCUGAUUAUUGUCGUCUAAAGCAACUACUCCAUUCCCAAUUUAAGAACGGAAAGUGAAAUGCCAGUGGACAACAAAAGAAGCUCAAAUACGCUCUCAAGGCAAAUCUAAAAAAUUGCAGUAUAAGCAUGAACAAUUGGGAAACACUGGCCUGUGAGCGCUCCAAUUGGAGAAUAGCCUCUACCAAAAGGUGUCAUGGACUUUAAGAAGCACGAACUCAGGAUGAAAGGGAGAAACAUGCUAAAAGGAGGGACAUUUGGCAAAUCCUCACCGUGAUCACCUCCUACCCAGAAACCUAUGUCCCCACUGAUCCAGAACUGGCCUCCACAGUCACGGACACACUGUUAAGACCGUAUUCAUGGAAGACAAUCUUACUUGGCUAUGAGUGACCGCCAUAUCUUUUUGUCUGCUUCAGAACUUGCAUUGGCUUGUCUUUUGACAACUUUGCUACAGCCCUUUUUGGUUUUUGUCUGCUGGCUGUAGAACCUCACUUCUGGCCCAUGCUGCUUGCCUCUGGCUCUUCGGCUUCUUAGUUGCUACUUUCAGAUGACCUGUGCCAGACUUGGACCACAGCAUUUUCUUCUGACCCUGCUGGGCUCUGACACUGUCCACUAGCAAAUGUGUAUUUAUUUGCACAUCUGCACUACACACAUAAAACCUGUGCACACGUAGGCUGUUACACAUGGUUAGAUGUUUUGCAGGGUCUCUGACUGUGCCUGGAGCCCCGAUUCAUAGUUUGCACACAUGUAGGCAAGCUGCAGAUGUGUAAAUUUUCACUCCUGAGAUGGGAUGUGUGGCUUGCUGCUGUGAUCCUACUCCCCACUCCCUGCAGACAUGAAGACCCAGGCUUAUACAGUGGUACCUCAGGUUAAGAACUUAAUUCAUUCUGGAGGUCUGUUCUUAACCUGAAACUGUUCUUAACCUGAAGCACCACUUUAGCUAAUGGGGCCUCCCGCUGCCGCUGUGCCGCCGCUGCACAAUUUCUGUUUUCAUCCUGAAGCAAAGUUCUUAACCCGAAGUAAUAUUUCUGGGUUAGUGGAGUCUGUAACCUGAAACGUAUGUAACCUGAAGCGUAUGUAACCCGAGGUACCACUGUAAUCUGACUUUUGCAGAUAGUUGUCGACGUUUCCCUUUUUUAAAGGGAAAUUCCCUUAUUCCGAAUAGGAUUCCUCGCAAGAAAAGGGAAAAGUUGACAGCUAUGCUUUUGCAUGUCUUUUACAUAAUUUUACAUCUUUUACAUUACUUGAUUAGGAAAUCUGUAUUAAGUCAUCCUGAGAACUCCUGUCGAGACUGUAUAACACUGAGGAGGGGGCCUUUUCAGUAGUGGUGUACUGGCUAUAGAAUAUCCUCCCCCCCCCACAAGUCUGGUUCACGCCAACACCUUUAUUAUUUGGCUGACAGGUCAAGGCUUUUCUUUAUUCCUUGAGUGACUGGUGGCUGCUAUGUUUCUUCUGAUUUUAUACUGCUUUUUGUUUAUCACUGCUGUCAGAACGGUUUUGUUUUGAUUUUUUUUUAAAAAAUAACAUUUUAUGAGAAAUGUUUAUUGUAUCACUUUUUUUUUAAAAGUAAGACUGGCAUGUACAUACAGUAUUUCAAAUAAAUAGCCCUGCUGGAUUAAAAGCAAAAUGCCAGUGACUUAAUUGGGAUGAUAGCUUUCCUUAGUCACUCUGUGCUGAGGCUCCUGCUCUUUAAGACUCUAUUGUUCAACAACAGAUUGUGCUAAGAAUAAUAUUUAUUUGUGCUGAGCUAAGUGUUCACAUUGCUCACUAACCUCACUUGUUUUUCUAAGCAAACUCAUUCGUUCACAUGACCCUCUUAGUACACCAAGCUUUGAAACUCUUGAAAACCAGUCUUCUGAUAAUGCUUACAUUACUCCUGGUUUUACCAUUCUUAUUCUUAUUCUUCUUUGGCGAUCACUCAUAGCCAAGUAAGAUUGUCUUUCAUAAACACGGUUUUAACAAUGAGUCCAUAAGUGACUGUGGAGGCCAAUUCUGGAUCCACACGUCCUUCCACAGUGGGGACAUUUGUUUCCGGGUGGGAGUUGAUCACGGUGUGGACAGUCUUUAAACCUCUUUUGUUGACCACCAGCACUAUGCUUUCCAUUUUUAAGUUCGGAAUAGAGUAAGGUAGUUGCUUUGGAAGACGAUCAUCAGGCAUCUGCACAACAUGACCAGUCUAACGAAGUUGAUGUUGAAGAAUCAUUGCUUCAACACUGGUGAUCUUUGCUUCUUCCAGUACACUGAUAUUAGUUCGCCUGUCUUCCCAAGUGAUGUGUAAAAAUUUUCAGAGACACCGUUGAUGGAAUCUUUCAAGGAGUUGGAGAUGGCGUUUAUAAGUAGUCCAUGUUUCACAAGCAUAUAGUAAGGUUGGUAGUACAAUAGCUUUGUAAACAAUCAUUUUGGUUUCCCUGGGAAUGUCCCGGUCCUCAAACACUCUGCACUUCAAUCGGGAGAAAGCCGCACUCGCAGAGCUCAGACGAUGCUGGAUUUCGGCAUCAAUGUUGGCCCUUGUGGAAAGAUAACUGUCUAGGUAGGAAAGUGAUCAACAUUUUCCAACGUUACACCACUGAGUUGGAUUUCUGGCACUGCAGAGUGGUUAUUUUGUACUUGUUGCAGCACUUUUGUUUUUUGGAUGUUGAGUGAUAGGCCAAGCUUUUUGUAAGCUUCUGCAAAGAUAUUUAGGAUGGUUUGGAGGUCAUCCUCUGAGCGUGCGCACACUACGUUGUCAUCAGCAUACUGAAGCUCUAUGACGGAAGUUAUGGUAACCUUACUCUUUGCUUUCAGCCUGCUCAGAUUGAAGAGCUUUCCAUCUGUUUGAUAUAUGAUUUCUACUCCGGUGGGGAGUUUCCCUUCGAUAAAGUGUAGGAUCAUGGCAAUGAAAAUAAUGAAUACCUUUACCAUUGUAACAUACUAGAUCUUUCUGCUUAUUUUCAAAAACAAAAAAACUUUUCAUUAAGACCUACGGACAAGUUGCAAAGCAGGAAGGGAUCUUUCAAGUUCACCAGAACUCUUCUUUAGAAUCCUGGUGAACUUGAAAGCUUGCUCACACCUUUUGCUUAGCUGGUCCUAAUAAAGGUAUUGUGCAGUUUGGUUCCGCCCCCUCCCCCCAUGGACCAGUUUUGCUGCCUCCUUUUUUAUUGUACCAUUUUCAAAAAACACCGCUUGGUGAUCCAAAAAGUGUACUUGUGGUAAAAUUAUUACAUGAGCACCAUUUCACAGAUUCAACUGGAAUAUGGUGGCAAGACAGAUCACAGUCUGGAUGCAUCUAAAGUAAUUCCAAUGGACCACCCAAUUUAAUUGUGCACAGCCAGUUCUCUUGUGCAAGGUGAGAGAAAGGAACAGACUGCUGCAUCUCUCUGAUCUUUCUCUCAUCUUUUUCCCCCACCAAGAUCACUUCCAGUGUUAGGGAAGCACUAUCUCUGAGCUGUGAAGUGCUGAAAUUAGUGCUUCAUUUCAACUAAAAGAAUAUUGAUUUGCAUAUUACUAUUAUCACUACUAACUUACAUAUCUCUGAUAACUCUGAUGCGUAUGUCCAUCCUGCUCACCAUGGUCAUCCAAGGGCCAUUGAACUGAGCGGAUAUGGUAGGGCAAAUGGGAAUGUACAUAUUGAGACUUUAUUAUGUCCAACUAGUUAACCAUGGCUAGAGCUGGAUCAGGGUCCAUGUAAGAAUCUCAAAAGCUGGUAUUGAUGGUGGAGGGCUUUUGGCUGUCCCAUGUUCACCUCAAAGAACAAUAGUUAUAAUAUUCUUUCAGCUGGGAAUGGCAGCAUUUUUCUUUACUAUUUUUAUUUGUUUCAUAGUUUCCCUACCUUUUAUCCUAGUAUCUUAGGGGUAUGCGAAGGCUUCCCUUCCCCCGCUUGCCCGUUUCGUCUUCACAACAACACUGUAAGUAAGGCUGAGAGAUGGUGAAAGGCCAAAGAUCACCCAAUGAGCUUCUUUAUCUUUAUCCCAGGGUGGGCAGACUUCAGACUUGCAGGUUUUACCCCAAGAUCCAUUAACUGAAGCCAGGUGCAAAAUAGUGUCUGGGGGGGAGAGGCAUAGAAUUAAAGAACGUGGUAUAUCUGAGCACAUGAUCAGUUCAGGAAUUUGUUUUCAGGUCCAGAACGGAGUUUCUAAUCUUGUCACACGAAAAGUUUCAGCGAUAUAGCAUGCAUGCCUAUGACAUAAGUCACUCAAAACCCUAUCACUCAAAAUCCUAAUCAUUUUCAUCCUCCCAAAUCAAUCAUAAUAAUCAAUGAUAAUGCUAAAAAGUGGGGGUAAACAACCGAUCACUGCAUAAAUAGCUGGCUCUUCUUCCUCUCCCAAAGUCCUCCUUUUUCGUUCCUCAGGUUUCUGUCACCAUCUGUAUGUGGUUAGCUGGAGAAUGUCUAUUUUAUCAUUUAGUUACCUUUUUGAAUUGUAAGGGCCUGUUGUUUGAUGUGCCUUCACUUUAAUGUAAAGCACACCAUUACUAGGUUAAUGAUCAUGAGCUGUCAUCGCAGUCACUUUGAAAACGUGGCAGUGAUGAAUGGAGCCAGCAGCUCUGAGGGAGGUUGAUCACUGAAGGCACAGUGAAGUUUAUUUAAGCUGGGCUUGAUAAUGGGCCUGUAUUUGAGAUGGGGUGUUUCUAGUCACUCUUGGAAGAGGAGACAUUCCCUGGCAUGACAUAUCCCCCACCGCCACUGCCCCCACCGCCCACUUUCUCUCACACAAACAUUAUGGAAAAGAUUGGUCUGUAUUCUGAAAUCUGUUCUUCUAAUUGGCUGGCCCAGAGUAGUACAGUUGUGCAUUUUAGAGAAGGGUAGCUGUAUGAAGCAGCAAUGCUUUUGACUUACAGUUUGGGAGGUAAGAACAUCAGAAAAAUCCUGCUAGGUUAGACCAAAGGCUCAGCUUAGUCCAGCAUUCUCUUCUCACACUUCUCUUCUCACAGCCAGCUUCUUAUCCUGAGGCUAUGACUGCAACAGUACAGUGGUACCUCGGGUUACAGACGCUUCAGGUUACAGACGCUUCAGGUUACAGACUCCACUAACCCAGAAAUAGUACCUUGGGUUAAGAACUUUGCUUCAGGAUGAGAACAGAAAUCGUGCUCCGGCGGCGCGGCAGCAGCAGGAGGCCCCAUUAGCUAAAGUGGUGCUUCAGAUUAAGAACAGUUUCAGGUUAAGAACGGACCUCCAGAACGAAUUAAGUUCUUAACCCAAGGUACCACUGUACUCUCCUCUUCCUGUUCCCCAGCAACUGGUGUUUUCAGGCAUAUUGGAGGUAAUGUGUAGCCCUCCCUUGGUACUACAGUCACAGAACUCUUUAUACAUAUAUCUUGUUUGAUAUCAACAGGAUUCACAAACCACUUAGCCUCAAUGAAAUUGUUACAUGUGGAACAAUGACCAAAUCUAAAGUUACCUCUAAUGGGCUUUACUACAUUCCUAGGUAAAUUUGCACUCCAGAUGUUCUCUGGUGGAUCAUGCACCCACUUGGACGAAAGGCAAUUUGUUUCUUCUCUCUCGCACAGCUCAGUACCAAUGUAAUGUUAUGAACAUACAUGGGCUUAGCCUGGAUUUAUGUUGGGGUGGAAGCAGGAGACCUACCUGCCUUCAUCCUCUGUUUGGCUCAGGCUAGCAGAUCUGGAAUGAAACGACUCAACAGCAGUUGUUUUAAAUUUCCGGUACUUUCUUUUGACCCCAUGUGCUCAGAAAAAUCUGACAAAAUGUUUCUACAAUUUCUACAUUUAUUUAAGUAUUUUUAUUCAUUUACUUGAUUUGGGUGGGGCAGCUUCCUCCCCCCCCCCCGCCUAUGCAGGGCUAUGACCCUGGCUAUGCCCUUGUGAACAUAAUACAUGUUUUUCUUUUCUUUAUUUAAAUAUUAACUAUUACCACAAAGCCAUUUUCGUACAGGAAGUUCUGUUUAUAUCGGGGUGGGGAGCCAUUUUCAGCCCAGUGGCCACAGAUCCUUCUGUGGGACACAUGUCAGAGGUGGACAUUGCCAGAAGCAAAAGUGGGAGGAGCAGCAAAUACAGUUUUUAUCUUGGUGCAGUUGGCUAGUUUGAACGCACACUCACACAGCCCUCUCCCUCCUCCCGCCAGACAACCAAGAAGCAUUAUCAUAGCUCAAGGACACAUUCCAGCCAGGCAAAAACUCUCGGGGUGUGAAGUAGGGCUUGUGAGAGGUACGACUGGGGAACAGAGUGAAAGGCCUGCGGAAGGCCUGAUAGAGAUGUGUGUAGGCUUAGGUGAUAACUCCCUGGGGCCCUGGGGUGCCCAAGCACCCACAAAAUUCCCAGUGAAGGAGCCAGGCACUCACAAAUUUUGGUGCCAGGGCCAUGCACGCUGCAUGGCACCCAUGGCUCUGGGCACCCACAGUCACGGAGCCAUAUGGCCCAUUGGUCUCAGGUUCUCUAUCCGUGGUUUAUAUGUUUAAAUUGCUUAAUGAGACUCAUCCCAUGUAUCUUCACAGGAAGAAAAUGUGCAAAUGAACAAUCAUUUAUCUAGCACCCAUUCAUUUUGUUUUUAUAUACAGUGGUACCUCGGUUUUCGAACGUAAUCCGUUCCAGAAGGCCGUUCAAGUUCUGUAACGUUUGAAAACCAAAAAUUCAAUAGUCGAUGGCUAGGCCUCAGGAUCUUGCACUCAGCGGAAGCAGCAUGGCAUGUUCAACUUCUGAGGCAUGUUCGAAAACCAAAGCAUUUACUUCCAGGUUUACGGCGUUCAAAAACUGAAAUGUUCAUCGAUGGAGAUGUUCUAAAACUCAGGUACCACUGUAUAUGAAAACAAAAAGAAUGGGUGCUAGAUAAAUGAAUGUUCAUUCUUGGUCCAAUUUUUUUGAGGGGAAUGCUGGAGAAAUAGGUGGGGUUGUUUUUUAUUUAAGUUAAAAAACUAGAACAGUUAAAGAGACAUCACAUGACCUCUUUAUUGGGUGACCAUCUUCUGUUGAUAUAAGAGCAUCACUUCAACUGCGGUAUUCACUUAGCAUGUCAGGAAGCCAGGCACUGCCACCGAGUUUUGUGUAGAGGAUGCAUGUUUAAUUUAUAGAGUGAGAGAGAAAGAGACUGCUAAUCAGAGGCAGAGAGAUAACAGUAUGGCAGUGAGAGGGGGGUGUAAGCUGGAAGGCCUUUGGGGUCUUUCGCCGUCUGUGGAAACUUUGUGUCACCGCCAGUCCGCUUGAAUCUCAAGGAUGGGAGUAGAAACUAAAAAUUGCUUUUGUCAUUCAGCUGGCGGCAGGCACUUAAGUUGUGACUGGCAAGUGGUCGCAGUGGGAAUUGGGAGUUUACAGACUGGGAAUGCUGAUGUUUUAGGGUUCAGAGCACCAAGGAACCAAGAUAAACAAAUUGGCCGGUGAGAGUGACUUGUGUUAGGUCAGCCUAAGGGUCACUAAAAGGUCAAGCUGCCUCAGAUCUGGAUAUUUUGGUUGUCUGUUUACCCACCGGGCAAAGGCAAGAGAUGCUGUGAAAAACUCUGAUCCUCAGAUUCAUGGUUGUAGAAGCAGUCUGGUGAGUGGGGGGGAGGGAUAAAAUAAUCUUGGAGAGAUCUUGUUGUCAGCAAGCGCAAAAAGGCCCAUAGUCCAUUAGAGACUCUUACAGCAUGAACUAUGAUAGGCAAGUGCCUCUUUUAUCACAUGCGUGGUGAGAAAGCAGAAGGUUUAGGUACCCACAGCUGAAAGAUACUAUAACAGGACUUGAAACACACACAAACAUUUUGACAAGAAAAGUGCUAAAUAUGAGCAGAGCAGCAGCAUCUACUCAUUUGCUGGAGUAUCCCAAAAUUAUGGUUGAAAUAAACCAAGCACUUCAAAGGAAUAAUAUCCAAGUGUCAUUGUACAGUGGUACCUUGGGUUAUAUAUGCAGGCAUAGAAUAUAUAUAUUAGUUUAAUAUUUCACACAAUAUGCUGUCAAAGCAUGCAAACAAAAACCAGUUGGAACAGCAAUAGACAAACAAAUUAAAGAAAAUAAAAUAGAAAUUCAGACAUGCAAAAUGGGGUCCAAUCUUUUGGGUCAGAGAAAGUCCUGUUAAGGGUGCUCAGAACAGUAGCUCUUUGAGGGUUGAACUACAGUGUCCAGGAUUCUUUGAGGUAAGCCAUAUGUUUUCGAUGUAUUGUGUGUAUGCAGCAUUGGUAUACUAUCAUUCCAUAAUUUUCUAGCUGAAGUUCCCUGGACGACUCUAGUAAGCCAGUAGAGUUUUUGCUUCUGUGUUCCUCAGAGAUUAACUCCUUUACACAAGUCACAGUGCAGGCAGCAUAAGGGGUCUUUCCCUUAGAGUAGUUUACAAAGUAUCUGCAAACAUUUAGAUAUAUAAAGUUACAGCUGUCAGUUUUUUUGUCUCCUUAGUGAAACUUUUCUCUGAAAGUUACUUACCAGAGGACAAUGUUGACCAGACAAAUAAAUUUCACAGAAGUUGAAGCCUCCCUCCCACUUCUUUCUGGCACCAUGAAAGGUGUGAUACCAUUUAUUUGGAACAACUUGAAUAUAAUUUCCAUCACAGUGGUACCUCAGAUUACAUACGCUUCAGGUUACAGACUCCGCUAACCCAGAAAUAGUACCUUGGGUUAAGAACUUUGCUUCAGGAUGAGAACAGAAAUCGUGCCCCGGCAGCGCGGUGGCAGCAGGAGGCCCCAUUAGCUAAAGUGGUACUUCAGGUUAAGAACAGUUUCAGGUUAAGAACCAACCUCCGGAACGAAUUAAGUACUUAACCCGAGGUACUACUGUAUUUGAAGGCAGAGUUAGGAGAGCCUGGCGGAAUCUAGAUACAUAGAAACAAACACAGUGAAAAUGCUUUUUUUUUUUAAAAAAAAAGGUUUUGAAAAAAUAUUAAAUUUGCCAUAGUUCACCAUCACCAUCUAGUGUCACAAUUGUAUAAUGCACUUUACAACACACUUGAAAUGCGGGUGGCACUGUGGUCUAAACCACAGAGCCUAGGGCUUUCAGAUCAGAAGGUCGGCGGUUCGAAUCCCCGGAAUGGGGUGAGCUCCCGCUGUUCAGUCCCUGCUCCUGCCCACCUAGCAGUUCGAAAGCACAUCAAAGUGCAAGUAGAUAAACAGGUACCGCUCCGGCGGGAAGGUAAAUGCCGUUUCCGUGCGCUGCUCUGGUUCGCCAGAAGCGGCUUAGUCAUGCUGGCCACAUGACCCAGAAGCUGUCUGCGGACAAACGGCGGAUCCCUCGGCCAGUAAAGCGAGAUGAGCACCGCAACCCCAGAGUCAUCCAUGACUGGACUUAACGGUCAGGGGUACUGUUACCUUUACCUAGCUGAGUCCCCUGACUGGAAGAGUAGCAAGUUUGACUUCUGGUUCCAUCCACAACAGAAGCAGUUGAUUUUUUUACUUGUUCUGUGGAGAACUAGCUUUUUGUUGUUGUUGGUUGUGAUAUCUCUCUCUCCUGACACUGUUGACUGAGAGUUCCUUUUUGUAAGACACUUUUCCUCUCACAGAAUGAUACCUUGUCCCACAAAAACAAAGGAAUAUGGUGUGCUCCAAUAAGCUCUACCUCAGUUUCCAAAAGGUUAGCUGCUAUGGCAUAUGCAGAGGUCAGAAACCAUUUACAGUGGUACCUCGGGUUACAGACGCUUCAGGUUACAGACCUAACCCAGAAAUAGUACCUCGGGUUAAUAACUUUGCUUCAGGAUGAGAACAGAAUGGACCUCCAGAACGAAUUAAGUUCUUAACCCGAGUUAUCACUGUAUUGAGGCAUUCACACACCAGCUAGGCUGAAGAGUGUCCCAUGAAAGUGGAAUGAGGCAGUUUCCUAUGUUCCUUUGAAAGCAAGAGAGAAGAGAUUGAAAGAGGUCCAAAUGAGUUUUCUAAUACUUUUUAAAAAGGAGAUAGUUGGAGGACUUAAUCUCUGGAGAAGCGUUCUGAUAUUUAUGGCUAACAUAAAGGGGGGGGGGUCCAUAAAAAGCUUAUACUUCUGCCUAGCAUGAUUGCGAACAAAAAGGCCAGUAACAAUGUUUUGAUUUAUGGCUAUCAGAAACUGUGGCAGGAAGCUGCCUCCACCACAGUAACCCAAAACUCCACCUUAUGUCAACAAGCCAUUGAAACAGAAGGCUACAAGGCCUUUGCACGGCCUGGUAUUGUACACCCUAAGCAGCCCACGUUUUACGUAGAAAGGAAAACACUGUGACGGCUCUUUUCCGAUGGCAAGCAGAUUAGCCACCCCUCCGCUGUUUUCCCCCUUCACUUCUCUUUCAUUUCCACCAAUAACACAAAAAGGUUUUGUUAUAGCCUUCUGUUCGAGUUUACCUUCUUUUUCUUCCUUUCUUUUUUGCUUCACUGCCGCCUUUCUGAGCUGAGAUGUGGGCAGACUUGCUGAAUUUUUAAUAGUGUGGUUAAGAAAAUGUUGACCCUUUUGGAGUUGAUGGAUGGUUUUAUUAUUUAAACAUAGUUUCUGUCUUCCUUUGUAAUUUCAGCACUGGGAAAUACAAUGGAAGGAACUGGCACUAAAAAUUAAGUAGGGAAUCAAAGUACAUUGGUACCUCGGGUUAAGAACUUAAUUUGUUCUGUAGGUCUGUUCUUAACCUGAAACUGUUCUUAACCUGAAGCACCACUUUAGCUAAUGGGGCCUCCUGCUGCCACCAGUCCACCGGAGUACGAUUUCUGUUCUCAUCCUGAAGCAAAGUUCUUAACCCGAGGUACUAUUUCUGGGUUGGUGGAGUCUGUAGCCUGAAGUGUAUGUAACCUGAAGCGUAUGUAACCCGGGGUACCACUGUACUGAAUUUCAGUAACAUGCUGAUAUGGGCCUUGUUUGGGCCAGUAUUAUUACUCUGAAACUUUGGUUAGAGAAAACAAGUAGUCUUUCCCCAUCUUGCUGCAACUCUUUGGAGGCUGGAUCUGCCUUCUCCUCAGCAGCACGCCCCAAUGCCACCUCUACAGUGGCCUCUUGGUGAAUAGGAGGCACUGCCCGUCUCCUCCCACCCUCGUUCCCAAUGUAUAUAUUUAUUCCUCCCUUGUUCCUAAUGUAGAUUUUCACUCAUCCCUUCUUCGCUGGCAGGGAGGAGAUGCCAUUUUGUCAUUUGCCUCUGGUGCCAAAAUGUCUUUGGCCAGCUCUUAAUCAUGUGCUUCUGAUUCAAUCAGUAGGCAAUAUUACAAAACUGAAGUGGAACAGACUCUUUGCUAUUGUCACAUGAGAAAUGUCAUAAAACACCCUAUCAGUUGCAGAACAAGGUUUUAAUUUAAAAUGAAGCGAAGACAUGAUUUCCCCCCCUAAAUAAUGUUUUGGAAACACUUUUAACACGCUUCCUGUCUUACACUGAAUAGAGCAGAACGUCCUAUAUUUAUAAAAAAAAUGCUGCGUCAGUUGGAUGCUUGGUAACUGUAAGGUCAAAAACCAAGCACAGUUUUAGGUUUCAAUACAAAGCAAGAAAUCCCCAAAUCCCUGCAACGGGGUGAGCUCCUGUUGCUCGGUCCCAGCUCCUGCCAACCUAGCAGUUCAAAAGCACGCCAAAAAAAAAAGUAAAAGUAGAUAAAUAGGUACCGCUCUGGUGGGAAGGUAAAUGGGGUUUCCAUGCACUGCUCUGGUUUUGGUGUUCCAUUUGCGCCAGAAGCGGCUUAGUCAUGCUGGCCACAUGACCCGGAAAAACUGUCUGCAGACAAACGCCGGCUCCCUUGGCCUGUAAAGAGAGAUGAGCGCCGCAACCCCAGAGACGUCUGCAACUGGACUUAACUGUCAGGGGUCCUUUACCUUUUUAAGAAAUAUGUUUGUAUACAUUAACUAAAAUUUAUCUCCAUUUUAAUUACAAGAGUGCUAGAAGUUGUGUUGAUCUCUCAAAAGGAAAAACAGGGGCCAAGAUGAACACUGCUGACUGAUAUCCGUGUGUUUAUGACUGUAUGUUAUGUGUGCUUAAUUAUGUGUUGGAUUGUGGAGAAGGUCAUUCUAGCAGGAAAACGCUUUGAGUAUCAAGUGCCGUAAUUUCGUGCGUGUGAAGUGUGUCAUGCAUGUGAAGUGUGUCUACAAGGCCAAAUGACAGACCAAAUGGUCAAUACAGGUAUCACUUGGCUUCAGGGUGGUGAGUACCGGCUCCCUACUUUAUUGUUGUUCUUGAUGUUUUUAAAAAAUCAAACUUUGAUGUGGACUGUUGAUUUCUUUUGGGAGGGAAACUGCUGAAUCAGCUAAGCAAAGCAGCUUCAAGGCUACUUGAAUAUCACUACUUCUCUAGAUCUCUGCCAGCCUGGCUUUUAUCAUACUGGGACAGAGCUUGUGGCUUGCAUAAGCCAAGAUGGUGUAGCAGUUAGGAUGUCAAAGUAAGACAGGUUUGAACCCCCAUUUGGCCAUGAAGUUCAUUCUUUCUCAACCUAACCUUCAUUACAGAAUUGUUGUGAGAGCAAAAUGGAGGCAGAACUCUGUCUAGACUUCUUGGAGGAAAGAUAAGACCCAAAUGUAAAAAUAAAAAUAAAAAUCAGAAUAUCUUUCUAUCAAAAUAGAAGUAGGAUGAAUUAGAUCCUUCUGAUCAUGUUAAUUCUGUAAACUUUAAUACUCUUGACCAGCAGAUAUUGGCCACAUGGCUGCCGGCAUUCCCAAUAUCUCUUCAGCAUGAGUAAAAUAUUGACAGGGGAAAUGAUGGAGAAAUGCCAAUAUUGCCUCCCACUCACCAGUUCGUCCUGUGUAUCUAUUCUGUCUCUCCCACUGUUUCAAUUGAAUAUGGGUUCACUGGCUGAAACCACAGAGACAUGGAAUCUGAUGCCAUUUACUCUGUAUCUUUUCACCUGGCCCAGGUCUAAGAGCUCAAUGCUUACUCCAUAUCUCCAGCUGUAGCAUUUUGAUAUAUCACACUACUGUACAAGGUGCUAGAGCUACUAUACAUGGGGCUGUUUUAAUGUAUCCUAUGGUGAGCAGAAGGUAGAAAACACAGUGCCUACUAUCCUGACAGGUGGAUUGGUCACUGGAAGCAUAGUUGGUCAGUGUCUGCCCUGACUUCUGGUGGGCAUUCAAUGCACUAUUUUUUACCUGCAAAGUCUUAAAUGGUUUGAAUCCAUUGACCCUCAUACCUGCUUACAUUGUGUUUGUCUGCAGUCUCCAUUAUAUCACCUGAUAGGAUCACCUUGAGUAGCCAAUUUUUGUGACAUGUUAGUGUGGGAGUGGGGAAUCUUUGACCUUCAGAUGUUACUGAAUUACAGUUCCCAUCAGCCCUAGCAAUCAUGACCAAUGACAAGGCAUGAUGGGACCUGAAGUUCAGCAACACCUGGAAGGUCAAAGGUUCACCACAACUGUGUUACAGUAGCAAGAGCAAGCAAAGAAACCGUCUUGGUGGUUGCUCCCAGGUCACAAACUCUCUUCUUCAUUAUGGUAUCAGCCAGGCAGACAGUAGUGCUUUUGGGUCAUGGUAAGGGAUAGCUUAGAAAUAGAUCUUAAAACAUGUGGGUCAUUUGUGUGUAUGUGUAUACACACACACACUUAUAUAAAAACUGGUACAUUGCUUUUAUAAGGCUAGGACAAGUCAAGUCUUCAGCAUCUGCUGAUAGGCGGUUGGGGUCAUAAAUCUAAAAUGAAUAAAUAAGAGCCCCAGGCUGCUUCAUGUGUUUGCACAUAGCUCUUAAUUUCAGUCUCUGUGUCCUUGAUUCAGCUGCAGAACAAAGGUGCAAGCAGUUCAUAUAACUUUGAGGUAAAUGGCAAGUUUCCCACUGGUUCUAAUGGGACGGGAUUGCAUUCCUCAUAUUCUAACAAGUAGGCAUCUAUUAUGACUAAAACAGAAGGCUGCAAAUUGAGUCACUUUGUGUCUUCUGCAAGGAUGUGAGCCAAAAUGAGCCAGAAGACCUUGAUGCUUGUGACAUCAUGGAUAAGAAAGUGGGGAAAGCAGCAGAUGUCUGACCUUGCCUAUCUUGUUUCUACUUUUUUGCUGCUGCUGCAGCGAAUAACAUCUUCCCAAGGUUUCAACACUAAAAACAAGGAAAUGGCAAGAACCACUAAUGCACUUAGAAGUAAAAAAAUCAUUGAGGCAGUUACAGUAGCAGAAUUUCUCACCCACCUUCUUAUUUAAAUUAUAUUGCAAAAUUCCACUGAUAGCUUAAUAAUGUGUAAUCAACUCAUUAAUGUGUACAUAAUUCAUAUUUUAUAUAUACUGUUUUUGCUAAAUAUACAUCAGUAUUGAUACAUAUUAUAUACACAUCAACACCAGCCAAUACACACCCUGGUUGAUACAAAAAACUACUGUAAAAACAAACUAUGCCAUCUGUAAAAAGCCUCAGGCGGAACAUGUCAUAAAACAACAUGUAAUACCAGCAAUGGUUAGAAAGCACCCAAGUGAGUUUACAGCAGGGAAGUUUAAAAAUAGCUGGAGGUGAAAUGUAGAGAAAGAACAACAGCUAUGAAAUUAUAGGUAAUACUUAGUUCAACAGUUACUUUGGAUUCAAUUGGUCAACCAUUACAUACAGAGAAUCAUUUUAAAUCUUACUGCAUGGAUAGACUAUUCUCCUUCUGUUGUUGUUUAGUCGUUUAGUCGUGUCUGACUCUUCGUGACCCCAUGGACCAGAGCACGCCAGGCACUUCUGUCUUCCACUGCCUCCCACAGUUUGGUCAAACUCAUUCUCCUUCUAGCUGGACAUAUAUCUGACAUCAGGAAUCACAAGACAGAGAAUCCAGUAGGAGAACAAUUCAGUCUCCCAGGGCAGUCUAUACAAGAUCUCAAAGUAGCUGUCUUAUUACAAAAGAAUUUCAGUAAUAGACAGGAAAGAGAAGUUGCUGAAUUGCAACUUAUUACCAAACUUAAAACCAUGGAGACCCCUGGUCUGAAUAGAGACAUUGGAUUCUUAUCUACACGAUAAAGCUAUUUUUAGCCACUUCACCCCUUGCUUUUUCCUGUAAGACCAAUUGCAGUCGUUAACAGUCGUCAACAGGUUUACCACACCUAUCAGGCAAUCACCCAUUCCCACCACCCUUCUGAGUAAUACCCCUCCUCACCCUCUCAUUAUAUACAAGGGUCUGGUGAGUUCUGUUUCAGUGUAUCUGAAGAAGUGUGCAUGCACAUGAAAGCUCAUACCAAUAACUAACUUCAUUGGUCUCUAAUGUGCUACUGAAAGGAUACCCGCCCCCCCAUCUAGGUAGUAAGUUUUUUCAUGAUCAGCUGGCACUGCAUAAUUUCCUAACAGAACAAACAGCAGAUUACGAUGAAUGAUUUUGCCUCAUCUCCAUAGGCAAUGCCACCACCCACCUUGUUGACCAGGUACAUGGCCUUAAUAUUUAUGUUUAAACCCCCACCAUCCUUGAUCCAAAUAUUAUUUGAGCUGUCUUGCAAGUCCUGUUAUUGGGACAGGAAAGGAGGAACAGAAACAUUUGACUAAAUUAAUAUUUAGUCCAUUGCCAAAUCGUUUUGCUUCUCCCUAUGCAAUGUUCUAAACUUCUGACGCUUCCUCUGCAUGUCUCCUUAGCUAAAAUUCUCUUCUGUCUUCCGGGUGUCUGUGCCCCACCUUGACUUUCUCUCAGUUGCGCUGUUUUGCCCAGGUUUUGCUUGCGCACUUCUCAUAGCCAUCUGGCUGGCCAUUGUAAGAACAAGAUGCUGAAGCAGAUGGACCUUUGGCCUGAUCCAACCAGGAUUUUAUUAUGUUCCACUCUCCUAUAAAAGAUACCUGCUAUAAAAGAUACCUCUGCCGCAUUCCCCUUUGCUGCACCCCCCACCCCGGAGACAUCCAUCUCUAUAUCUCCCUUCAGAUCUUUUUUCAAGCUCACUUUUCCCACAAAUUUGUUUAAGGCAGAAUAUUAUUAUUAUUAUUAUUCCCCGUCCAUCUGCCUGGGUUUCCCUAGCCGCUCUGGGAGGCUUAAAGGUAAAGGGACCCCUGACCAUUAUGUCCAGUCGUGGCUGACUCUGCGGUUGCGGCACUCAUCUCGCUUUAUUGGCCGAGAGAGCCGGCAUACAGCUUCCAGGUCAUGUGGCCAGCAUGACUAAGCCGCUUCUGGCGAACCAGAGCAGCGCACGGAAACACCGUUUACCUUCCUGCCAGAGUGGUACCUAUUUAUCUACUUGCACUUUGAGGUGCUUUCGAACUGCUAGGUUGGCAGGAGCAGGGACUGAGCAACGGGAGCUCACCCGUUAAACCACAGAGCCUAGGACUUGUCGAUCAGAAGGUCGGCGGUUCGAAUCCCCGCGAUGGAGUGAGCACCGCAACCCCAGAGUCGGCCACGACUGGACCUAAUGGUUAGGGGUCCCUUUACCUUUAGGAGAUGGAUAGUUGCUCUAGUGGGGGGCAUGCCAUGCGCCUUCUGGGGUACUUUGUCCACCUCAGCUCUCACCUGUGGCUCCUGGAAUGACUGCUACUGGCUGGCUAAUCCAGGUGAGGUUAGCUGAUGGGUCUCAAACCCUUGGUGAUUUAGAGACUUCCCCUGCAUGCAAAGACAGGCUUCGGCUGAUUGAAUGGACAAGAUAAAUAGUGGGUCCAACAGUCAAGAAGGCAGUUUCUGCAUGCGCUGUAGAGGAAAGUGAGAGGUGGAUGGGUCUCAUCAACCUGGGAAAGCAGCCCUUCUAGAAGAAGGAAAAAACUGAUCUUAAACCUUUGCUGCCUUGCGGGACAUCUUUUGGAGAAGAGAAGGCUAAGGAGUAAACCCUACACAAAUCUGGAGUGGCUGGAUGGUGGCUUGUUAGCCUCCUUCUGGCGGUUCCUGCAGCCAAGCUGGUGCCAAAUGUAUUGCACUGCUUUCCUUUGAACCACAUUAGUGAGACCAAGAGGGGGUCUCAUGUCUGGGCAGUGCAGGGGCCCCAUACACACUUCCCAGGCUUGUGCCCUGUGGAGGUCACGUUGGUCCUGCUGACACAGCAGUUUGACUUCUCCCCCAGAGAUGCGCUCCAUGGUCUCUUGAGACAGACAGAUGCCAACAACAACUUUCCAUCGCUUCCCCAGUGGCUGCUGUUUGUGCUGGGAAGAAAACUACCAUGAGACACUGCAGGGAAUACCUUGUCACAAACCCUGCCUUUAUUCACCAACAGGUAUAUAGCGCAGCCCAGUUUCCCUUCCAUAGUUUCAUUCUUAUCAGGAUGGUGCAUAUUUCAUUCACUGUGAAUGAAACUAUGGCACAGCUCCCAGCAUCUCUGCCUGCUGCCAAGGCUGAAGUUAAGAAACAAAGAUUUUAACACAUACACACACCCCGCCUCCAGCCCAGCAUUAAGGAUAAGGAGGGAAAUGUACUGAGAAGAAAAGUGGGUAGAAGAAGAAAAAUAGAAAAAUGGAAAUAGCUUUAAGCCCAGUUAAACAGCCAGAAAACUAGAUGGAGGGGAAAGGCUAACAUAGAACUAUACAGAUGCUUUGCCUGGCUCAGCUUGAGUUUCCUCACUCCUGUUACAAGAGCCAAGGACAAAAUGAACUGUAGGGGAUGUUCAUGUUCCUCACUUUUGGGUCAGAGUAUAUCCUCCGUCUUUGUCAAGCAGUCAGUCGCAUAACACUUGACCCUCUGGCUGACACUGUUCAUGCAGCUGCUUUGCUCAGUUCUGCAUUCAUAUUUCUCCUGUUAAGUUUGCUUUGCAAAGAAUAGAUGGAAUCUUGGAGGUAAAUUGGGAGGAUGGAAAAGAUGUGGAGCUCGAUCUACUUCUUGGUCGCCGUCGCUCCUCAUGCCUAAUGGUUUGGUUUUGUGUGCUGGCCACUCUGCUACAAAGAGCAGCCACAAAGUCCAUGCAAUGAUGAGUAAAAAUAUUGGGCUAAAAUGACAGUAAUCAGAACCGCAAAAUAUAUUAUGGAACGAACAGUGAAUGACACUGUUUGAUGCCUUUGUUACUGAUUCCAAUUAGCCGCUCUGAGACUUGACUUGUGGGUACAAACUCAUAGGUACAUCUAUCAGAGCAACCUCCGUAUAUGUACAGAAUUUGUUUUACAAUGCAAUUCUUGUUUAUUUAGUAUUUCCUGUGUGGCUGUGAAGCUUGUGCAACGGAUGUGUAAAACUGGCUGGUGUGGUGGCUUGGAAUGUUUGGUUGUUAAUGGGUAGGGCUGCCAUAUAUCCAGAAUUUCAUGGGUGUAGGCAGAACAUCUGUGGGUUGCCAUCUGAUUGGAUUUUAUUCGGAUCCUGAUCUGAUUUUAGGAUGUAUUUUAACUGAUUGCCUGAUUUUAUGUUAACGUGGUAGACAUCUGAUGUUAGCCGCUCUGAGCCCAGUUUUGGCCGGGGAGGGCGGGGUAUAAAUUACAAUUAUUAUUAUUAUUAUUAUUAUUAUUAUUAUUAUUAUUAGGGCAGUCGAAGCAGUGUCUGGGUGGAAAUCUCUUAAAUGUCUGAGAAAAUCCUGAUGAAUGUCAACCACUGUCAGCAGUCUAGAUUUGGGCGAAUUUCCUCAAGAACAUUUGUGUCCGGAUUUUCACUUUUUCAAAUAUGGCAACCCUACUAAUGGGACAAUGUUGCUUAUGGAGUAAACUAGCUUCUGUGAGGCAAAGGAACAUUGUCCAUUUUUCCGGGAUUAAAAACCUUGCACAGAAGAUGACUAGGGAUUAGAAAGAGAUUUUGGGAGGUAGAGAAACAGCCAAGACACCUUUUAGCAGCUUCUUGAUAUGCAUAAAUUUAACAAGCCAUCCUCAUCACUUUAUCUUAAUACCAAGGGAAAUCUUAUCUAUUGACAUUUUUUCCUUGCCAUACAACUUUCAAAGGCAGAGAAGGCCUUCUGGAACAAGAGGUGGCAAAACCACUUGUACUGUUUAUCAUCAUCAUCAUCAUCACCAUCAUACAUUUUGGUCACUUGAGCAUUGCCUCCUCUUGGCUCAGAAAUUAAACAAAUAGAAUCUCUUGUUUUCAGUAGUUUCACCUGCUCUCUAUUCUCCAGAAUUUCUAUCAGAAAAGUUAUGACCCUGAGGAAGACAGUGUUUGAGCAAACAGAGGUUCAAGGGUGGGAGGAGACCAGAAUGAAGUAAAGGUAUUUGGAGAUCAAUUUUGUUGCCUUUGCGUUUUACCUUGAAUAGUAGUCAGCCCCAAUGUGCUGAGAAAAUACUCGGACAAGGGCCUUUACUGCCCAUUAUUUGCUCAGCAAUAAUCUCUCUGCAUCAUAUGCCUGUGGGUGAGAACUCUACCUUAAAAAGCAAAUAAAAGGCCUCUGGACAGUGACCCUCAAAGGGCUGAGUUUGCUAAUGACAUUAAAGAUAGAUAUAGAGCAGGCUGAACAAUUUGAUGGGAGAGUGGACAAAAACCAUCUUGCAUGUUUGCUUCUUCUGUCCAGUAUUUCUUUAACACUAGAAAAAUGAUUAUUGUGAUGAUACAUUGGACAGUGGCAGCAGAAGAAUCUGAACAUUACAGGGUGGUACAGGGGUGGCCCAAGACAUUGUGGCACCUGUGCCAAAAUGGCAUCUCCCUGCCACUGCCAGGGAAGAAGGGAUGAGUGAAGAUCUACAUCAGGAACAAGGGGGGGGGAUAAAGAUUUACAUCAGGAACAAGGGUGUGAGGAAACCAGCACUUUAUUGGCUGAGGGAGCCGGCGUACAGCUUCCGGGUCAUGUGGCCAGCAUGACUAAACCGCUUCUGGCGAACCAGAGCAGUGCAUGGAAACGCUGUUUACCUUCCCGCCGGAGCGGUACCUAUUUAUCUACUUGCACUUUGACAUGCUUUCGAACUGCUAGGUUGGCAGGAGCAGGGACCAAGCAAUGGGAGCUCACCCUGUCGCGGGGAUUUGAACCGCUGUCCUUCUGAUCAGCAAGUCCUAGGCUCUGUGAUUUAACCCACAGCACCACCCGCGUCCCUUUAUAAGUAUAGUACUUUAUUAUUUUCCUAUAUGAGUGAAUGGGAGACCUUCGCUCUGAUGGGAGAAAGUCAAAUACAGCGUAUGGGGAUAUUGCUUAGUGGGCUGCAAGAGUACUUUGACAUGGAACCCACAGGCCACACACUGCCUUGUCACAUGGGGGGAGAGUGAAUCCAAAAUUUGAUGCCCCCCCCCCAGCCCUCACGCUGCCCUCCCAAAACCAAGUAAGCAAGGCACUGGGCUUUGGGAAGGAGGUAUGAGGGGUCUGAUAGGGUCCUAUAGCCUUCCACCUCCUUCUCAAAGUGCAGUUAGUGUUCUCUCAGCUUUCGGAAGAAGGUGGGAGCACUCUAGGACUCUGCCUCCUUCCCAAAGCCCAGCAUCUCACUUAACUGGCUUUGGGAAGGCAGCGCGAGGGUUGCAUGGGGGCCGUCAGAUGUUGCUGAGGGCCGCCAAACGAAGCCUCAAGGGCUGUGUGCUGAAUCGCCCUGGACUAGAUGACCCUUGGGGUCCCUUCCAGCUCUACAAUUCUAUGAUUCUGUGACAAUUGCCAUUUUUGCAGGUGCAACUUUACCAUCACUAUAAUUCCAGACCUGGGGAAAACUUCACCUGUUGAAUUUCUGCCUGUUGUGCAACUAUUGAUGACUUAUUUGAUUUAUUAGACUUGGAUAUUGCUUUGCAAUAAAGAAGUCUCAAAAGCAAUUUACAAUGAAUAUAAUUCAAUAGACAUAUGAUACAGAAACCCUACCCAGAAGAAGGGAAAAAUAUGAAACCAUCAUAUCCAAAGAAAUGAAACAAUUCUGUACUGUGUCUUUGGGUUUUCUGUGUGUGAAACAAUGUUUUAUUUUUGGGACUUCAAGGUAAGAUUUAAAAUAUUGUCAUAUUAUUAAAGAACUAUGGGUGCAUUAGGAUUUAGGAAUAGUCUGUCAUGUGACACUGAUGGAGGUGGGGGAAAUAGACGCAGAGCGAAUAUUUAGAUGGAGCAGCAGUGCAAACUUACCUUCAGUUCACUUUAAAAGCCUAGUAAAUCAUUACACUUUUUUAUUAUUUACCUGGUACAAAAUUCUCUAGUGGAGGAAGAGGGGGGCACACAAUCCUCCAAGGGCACAUUCUUUCUAUUUUUUUAGUGGCUUGCUCAGCAUUUUCCCUAAAACUUAGGGUUACCCAGUGAACAUGUUCCGUUAAUAUGUUCAUAAAUCAGAAAUUGUGGAAGGUUGAGUUUGGGUUGUAUGAUGAGGCUGUUUGUGAGGCUCAGUGCCAGGUGGGAAUUUUGAGAAGGAAGGCAAUUCUCGCACAGCUUGAGGAAGACAAAGGUUGCAUUUACACCUGGCCAGAAGGUUUAAUCAUCUACUAUUUCCAAACAUUGUAGGCUAACAAUCUGCUGUGUCUGAGAUCAUAAAAUAUAUCACAAAGUGGAGACAGAAGAAUUGGGACUCAGUUGACCAGAGGUUAUCUUUUCAGAGAUGUGAGCCAGUUGGGAAAUUCUUGACCACCUUAUUUAGGGGGGGAAACAAAAACCUGUAGAAGACCUUGCUUCAUCAUGUCAAAGAGAUGCUUGGAGCUUCAGGGAUUGUGGUUGGUUAUGUUACCUACAGGAUAAAGAAAGAUACCAAUAUACAUUUUUAGAAAGUGGAGAAAGAGAAAAAUACAUCUGCAUGAACAGAAUGUGAAUAAAAACACUUUAGGCUACAAUCCUACCCACUCUCCUCCAAAGUAAUUCUUAUUGUUUUCAGUGAUGCACACCCCUAAGUAAUGGUGUGUAUAGGAUUGCACGGUUAGCUGGUUAUUCCCCAAAUGGGAGCCUCUUUUAGGAUGUGUACACAAGGGAUCAAAUUUGUUUUUCUCAAUAUAUAUAAAAUGAGAAGAUAACCUAGUUCUGGUUUCCUGUAGAUUAUAUUUUUUCAAAAUCCCACCAGGACCUCUUAAGUUUUUUCUAUGGCAUGUAUAAUAUGCACUAGCUUCGCUGAACAUCCCUUGCACACAGUGAUUGUUUCCACCGAAUACAACUUGUGUUCCCUUGGGCAUGAUGUCCAGGAGUUCCCUAUCUGCAAAUGGGAGUGUAAAUAUAUUAAAGAUAAGAAGGUGUUUCAAUGCUUUCAGGCUGGAUUACAUGCCUAAGGGAGCUAGAUAGAUUUGAACAAGAUAAAAUAUCUGUUACUUGUGAUUUGCUUUUACACAGUUAGACGGUAUUUGCUGAGUUCCUUUCUGAACAGUUAACACAACCGUGAAUUUUGGCUCAUUUAUUCCACAGGAGCCACAUAUCUUUUUAACAGAAACACUAUUAGGACAUAUUUUUGCAGCACUCAGAUUGCCAUAGAUUGGUGCUAGGAAGUGGUGAGUCUUCUCCUAGCUCGCAGAGCUAAAGUUACUUGAGGUGCUGCCUUGAAUAUAGGGGAUGUGUGAGUUUUACAGAUGAUUCCCACACCCAAAUACUGCAAUAUUGUGGACAUUCCUGAAUGCUUUGAAUUUAUUACCUGGAUGUUCUGUAUUGGGGAUGGGGGAACAUGACCCUGUUUGGAUUCUCCUUGACCUCUCAUCAGCUUUUGAGACCAUUGGCCAUGGUAACCUUCUAGACCGCUAAAAAGAGAUGGACAAUGGGAACACCAUAUUGAUUUGAUCCUGCUCCUAUCUCCUGGGGCAGUUGCAGAGAAUAGCACUGAGUGACUUUGCUCAGUCCUGUGGGAAUUAACCUACAGGAUCAGUUUUGUCACCCAGGCUGUUUAACAUCUAUCAGAAGCUGUCAUUAGAGGUUUCGGGAGCAGGGUACCAAGUUCGUUCCCUUGAGGCCAAGGUGGCAGUGCUAGAAAAGGUAAGAGAGAGAGAGAGAGAGGUAGAUGAAACCUUGAGGAACGUUGUUGCUGUGUCCCAUUCCCACACUGACAGCUCCCCUGCUGUUGGGAAGAAUGAGGGUCUUGGGGAAGGUGAGUGUCACCUUGAGGAAGAGAGAAACAUUCCCUUAGAAGGGACCCAUUCCUUGGUGGACAAAUAUCUAUCCUCUUGUGCCAGGGAUACUUAUCCAGUUGGUGGAGGGAUGAUGAAAGUGGAGGGUCCCUGUAUUGUAGAAUUUACAAGGAUGAAGGAGGAAUGUGUGAGCCUACAGAUUUUGAUAGACCACAACUCCCAUCAUCCUAGCAUUGGCCAUGCUGGCUGGGUCUGAUGGGAGUUGGGCUUAUACACCUGCAGGACCACAGUUUCCUCAUUCUUGCUGGAACUCUAUACUCCCACCCUCAAAUAUCUCAGGAAACCCAACUUUUGAAAUUGAAGAAUGAAUCCUAGUAAACUUUUGUUAGCCUUUUGUUAGAAGAGAACAUUGCUUUACUUGCUGCAGUUAUGUAUCAUUACCCUCAGAACAUUUACUGGAUCAGCAGAAACACCCCCCACCCCCGAUAGGUAACUUUUGAAAUAUUUUGUCUUAAAGCUGCAGAGUACUGAUGAAGGCCCCUGACCUGUAAAUCAACUGCAAUUUCUUUAACAAAUUAUAUCAGUGGAGCCUCACCAGGUUAAUUUUCUGCACUCUUUCAUUAUUUGGUUUUCAGCCUUCGAGCUGAUUUCAGGAGACCCUGCUGGAACUUAGCAUUCUGAGGGAGAAGCCUGAUUUCAGGAAGGACCAAUCAAUAGUACGGUUUUCAAACAACAGGAGAACCACAAAGUAGUAGCUAUGUAAAACUAGUUCUAGGAAUCCAAGGGGUAGGUGACCUGAGGCCCAGCACCAGCAAUCUGGGUCUUGGGCCAUUCUCUAACAGCAUCCCUGUCACUGAGGUAAAUUUCCCCUUGAGUAGGGGUAGCGAGCCUGCUGCCAACAAGAUGACAGACUCCAGCUCCCCUCAGCCCCAGCAGCUUCCUAUUACUGAAAGUAUUCCUGUUUGCUCAAUAUGUUAGUCGUUGCCCUGUGAUGGAAUUCAGGUCUUCAGACCUUCUUUUGGGUAGGUGCCUUAAAACUCAUCUAGGCUGUGCUAAGAGACCUGUAGCUCAGGAAAGAGCAAGGGCAAGAUUAUGUUUCACCAAACACUUAUGUUCUUCCUCUCUACAGGACCUUGCAUCUGCAUCAUGGAGCUGCUGGUCCACAGUGGGCUCUAUCACAGGCAGGGGCGGAGGAAGGACGGUGCAGUGGGUGCAGGCCACCCCGGGUGUCACCAGUGAGGGUGGUGACAAAAUGCCAGGUGGCACUCACUGCAGGGCCUGCAGCGUGCCCGAGCCACACAUCUCUUCUGGGAGAGACGCAGUGGCUUGGGCACAUGCAGACUCCGCGCUGCCCAAACAGUCCGCCUGCUGCCUCCCCCCCAGCUGUAGGGCAGUUGAGUGGGAGGAGGCAGGCAGACUCUAGAGGCCUCGCAGUGUGCCCUGCCCAUAUGAACGAUUCACCCCGCCCUCGCCCUGCCCCUAUGGGUGGCUUGAACCGCCCCUGGGCGCGCUGCCCCAGGUGUCUGAGCGGCUUCCUCCACUGCUGAUCACAGGACCUGAAUUCUAUACAGUUCAGACUUCUAAUAUUUCCAAAAUAUUGUUAUCAGGGCUUUUUUUCAGCCAGAACACGUUGGAACUCAGUUCUGGCACCUCUCAGGUAGGCACCGUGCUAUUCUAAGAGAACGAGGGAGGCAUUUGUGGUGAGUUCUAGAAAAAUAGCACUGAUUGUUAUCAGAGAAAAAUGUUUCAGCAAUUUUAUAUAUUUGUAAACUGAUGAUUCUGGCUCAUUUUAUGCUGCUCCAGAUGGUUUCAGUCUUCAUGAGGUUAAUCACACGUUAAUAUUCCAAGGACUUAAUUUCUAAACAAUUGAUCUCAAGUGUUUCCAGCAUAUCCCCCUUCUUCUUACAGCAAUUUUAUUUACAGAAUGGCUAUUCCAGCAUGUAUUGGAUUUUACACCCUCUUCGAUUUUUCAUGUUACAGGGUGUCCACCACCACCGCUGGUAAAAUAGGAAUCUUGGCAAAUACAGAACUAUACAACCAAGGUUCCUGUGGGCUAUACUUGAUGGCAAUGAUUGUCAUCCAUGCAUAACUCCCCUGUUAUAAACCAGUUUGUUUUAUUGCAAGUAGCCUUUUAUGCUCCAUAGUCACCUUAUGGUAUACGCUUAGGUGUGAAACAAGUUUUCAGAAACUUCCUCUGAUGUACAGUAUUUGCGUUCAAGCACUUUUAUGAUUAUGUUCUCCACCUUGAUGAGAACAAUUUUCGAGUCACGUCUUCCUACACCUUCAGUUUUACAGUCUCUGAGAAACUGUUUCGCUGUGGUAUCGAGGAAAUGAACCGAAUGUUGUGAGGGCACUGGGAGUUCACAUGUUAGAGUACAAAGUUUUACAAGAGCAACAUUGUGCAAAGGCAGACAGAUAAACCUGCAGAGCCAGUUCUAACCAUCACUAUGUUGGAAGCACCUAUGGUGCUUUCCUUUACGCUUUUCAUUAAGAAAAAUAGAGAUAAAGAACUCAUUCAAAAUCACCCGUGUGUUUACUUGGAAGUUAGCUUGCCUGGGAUUACAUCCAGAACCAGUCAUAUAUUAAUAAAGGGAAUCUGAGCAAAAUGAGAUAACUUAGAGAGCAUCGACAUGUUUGCCUUACUUCAGCAUUAGCCAAGUAUUCUCAUUAGAGUCACAAAACAGGUUGACAUGAUCCCAUAUCCCUCAAAGUAAGUCCUAUUUCUGAGAGGGGCUGACUCCCAAGUAAAGGAGUACAGUGGUACCUUGGGUUAGAGAUGCUUCAGGUUACAGACGCUUCAGAUUACAGACUCCACUAACCCAGAAAUAGUACCUGGGGUUAAGAACUUUGCUUCAGGAUGAGAACAGAAAUCGUGCUCCGGCGGCACGGCAGUAGCAGGAGGCCCCAUUAGCUAAAGUGGUACCUCAGGUUAAGAACAGUUUCAGGUUAAAAACAGACCUCUGGAACGAAUUAAGUUCUUAACCCGAGGUACCACUGUAUUGGAUGGUUGCAGCCGAAAGCUCUGUUGUAUAUAGCGGGCCUUUCCAAAUUGUAAAGCAAAGGCUAUUUUUGCCUUAACAAUGUAUUCACACUGGUGCUUAUCUAGUACAGUAGCAAUAAUGUCAUUAUAAAUGGUCACAAAGUGAUACAAGCAUUUUUGGGCCCAUUUUUGAGCCCAUACCAGUUGGGGCCAGGUUGUUGGAAUGACCACCUGCACCAGUAUAAGCCUAUGGCCUAUGAAAUUCCCUCCCUCCCUCCCUAUACAGGUAUGUGGGGGACCUACAUUGAUGAUUUUUAAAUAAGACUUGAAUACCUUUUUAUUCCAAACUACUCUGAAUAUAUAUUUACGUUUAGAAUUUUUCAGCUGCUGGUGGUUUUUGAAUCUGUUAUUUUUGCUGUGCGUUUAAAUAUUUGUACUGCUUUGUUUUGCUAUUUUUUUUAAAUCUCUUGCUGUGACCAUUCCCCACCUCAGUGCGCUAGUGUGCCUUAGAAUAUGCAUACAGCUCUGGUUUUAUAAUUUGAUGCUCUAAACAGUGUGUUUCAGCACUCUGGGAGCUGCAUUGAGACGGUAACCAUGAAAUACACCUCAUAUUAAUAAAUAGCAUACCUUCCAGGUGCACUGGAAAAAAAUGGCACAUCCAAUUUUUUUCCUGCAAGAUCCCAGUGGCCAUUUGGGUGCUGCGAUCUUGAGCACUUUUGCACUGCGCUCUUGCUCUGAAAAAUCACUUUUUUGGGGGGGGUGAGAGCAAUGAGUCAUGUGGCUCACCUGGGAGCCUGUCCCGGAGGAUGUGCAUCCCAGAUUUGCAUUGGGAAAAGUUGGACAGUAUGAAAUAAUGAGAAGCAUUUGAAAACAGACGACUAUGGCACUGGUGCUGUCAAUGCAAUAGCUGCCUUUGAUACUCAUAUAAGCAUGAACUGCUUAGCAAUAGCUUCUACUCCAGAGCUAUGGGGCAGGGAAAUAUUUUAUGACCAACAAAAAUAAUUAUUAAUUUUCUCAGUAACAAAAUGGAAAUCCAGCUAAAUGGGCAGGGUAUAAAUAAAUUAUUAUUAUUAUUAUUAUUAUUAUUAUUAUUAUUAUUAUUAUUAAAAUCUGCCUAGGAAAAUAAAGCCACACAAUUACUUCCUUGAGGAAAGCGGUUUGAAUCCUCUUAGGACCAGACCAAGACAUUUUGCUGCCUGAGAUGAAGCAGAGCCCAAGCUAUUCUCUGUACAGAAGCUAGCUGGACUAGUAGUUGAAUCUUAUUUCAACACUGGCAACAAGACACUGUUCUCGGCUGCCCACGGUAAUGCACAGCCAGCUGUGGGACAGAGACAGCUCUGCUCCAACACGUCACUGCAACUACCUGCCCCUCAGCAUCCGCAGCCUGAGGCUGCCACCUCCUUCUGCUUAAUGGUAGGGCUGGCCCCAGAACCUUUCCCCUACUCCCCAACAAAUAACAUAGCAAUUAUUUGCAUUUAUUGCAUGGAAAACCAAGAGUGUACUAUUAAAAGAUUUUUAAAAUACAAAGGUGAAACUGCUGGAACAAAGAACACGUAUCAGACACACUUGCCCCAUUAAGGAUUAUCCGGCCUGUCACUCUGGUGCCAACAUUCUCUGAAAUCCCAGCAACAAGAGGCAGCUAUAUCUUACCUAAUGUGAUUUUACUGCUUUGAAUCCCUGCCCAGAUCCUCGCGGCAUUCCAUACUACCACAUCAUCACAAGGGAAUGAACUUUAUCUUGAAAAUGUUAAGAGUGUUUGUUUUAAAGAUGAUUUACCACACUUGACAGUGACUAGAUUUCCUAAAUUAAGGCUGAGCUAUUGUCACUAUUAUGCAUCUCACAUUAUGCAGAGAAAUACCUAGGCCCUAAACCAGUAAAUCUUUCAGGAUGGUUCAAGUUGCUCAUAAAACAAGCAGCAGGGCCAAGACUUCUAAAUUGGAUUUCUGCUGGUCUGGAUGUCAGCAUAGAGUUGAACGCCACCUGAUUGAGGGGGUGAGGAAAACAGAACUGGCGCCCGGCCGGUUGAGACCUCGGCACAUCUCUGGCCUUAGAAAUUAUCUGGCUUUCUGUCUCUUAUUUAGUCUGCUGGAAGAAGAAAUGCGUAGCUGACAAAUCCCGCUCGAAAACUGAAACAAAGCCAGUCGUGAAGAUUCCUCUUUGAACCUUUCUGCUAAUUUUUCAGCGUGUCCAUUGGAGCUGUAUUUUAAAGGGGGGGGGGGAAGACAUAUGACAAUCUUGAGUUGAAAAACUGCCUAGCUAUAACAUACUUUAAGUCAGCAAAGAUGAAAUGCUAUGUGAUCUUCCAAUGAUAUGCAAAUUAUUCUAGCAUAUCAGUUCCUCGAUUUGAGUCGCUGCAGAGACGCGUGUAGCUUUCAGAGAUUAGAGAUUUGAACACACAUACAGAGUUCCAUUUAAUAAGAUCUGCAGAGAAAUUGAUUAAGGAUAAGGGCCUGUCCAUCCCUCAACUUAAUGUGGAUUGUGAAUCUGUUCUGCCUCCUUUAAUUACCGUAAUUUCCACUCUUCCAUGCUGCGUUCUCCUCCAACUACUCUUCCCUCCCUAAAUCUGAAGAUUCCCUAUGCUCUGAAAAUCCAAACACAUAAACUACACUGAUUGCAUAGGCAAUCUCUAGAUUGAGGGAGGAGAAAGUGUGGGAUAGUAGUAGCUGGUGAAGAAAGCUGAAUGGACAAGCAGAGACUAAAGGAGGCAUAAGGGAUUCACAACCCACAUAAACCAAGGUAUGGAUGGGCCCUAGAUUCAAGAUUUGAAAAGGGACCAGAUAAGGUUGUUGUUCCAAAUUGUUUAACAUUGCUUAGGUGAUAAAAAGGUGAGAGAAAACUUUCAAAAUAUUGACAUGGGAAUGAAUGUAUUUGUUCUAUUGUCAAAAAGAAAGCUAUUAAUCUGGUGAUUUUUGCAGUAUUUAAAUGGUUGGUUUUAUUAAUAAAUUUAAUAAUAAAACGUUUAAUAAUAAAAGUUCACUUUUCUUUUCUUUUUUUAAAAAAAAAUGUAAGCUCCUUUGCAGGCUGAGGUUCUUUCUAGACAGGGUUCAAAAUUUAAGAACGACACCCAAAUGCCCUUUUCAACAACAGCCAACCAGCAUCAACUGCAUAUUAAUCAAUAUUAAAAUGGUUAACAAAGGAGAGCACCUUCACCCCAGUGUGGCUCCCCUUUACCACAUGUACAGCACAACAAGACAAUGACCUAUUCCCCCCAGUUGCAAAUGAAUCAAUAUAGCUAAGCUGACCCAACAACUGCCCCCUCUCACCCUCACACAUACAAACAAACCACACUGCAACCAACCGAACCAAACUCUGGACCCCCCCAAUUGCUUACAGUGCCAAAAAACCCCUAAAUAAAUAUAUAAAUAACGAACCUACCCACGUGAUGCUGGCACAAAACCCCUGCACAAACACAAUGCAAUAGAACACUUUCCCCUAACCACCUAAUGUCUAUGACAACAGUGUCUCAUACCAAAUGUAAACAAACUGUGAAAAAGACUCUAUGAAUUGAAAGUGGAGACGCUAUAUGUACUUUUCUUUGUUUAUUUGUUUGUUACACAAGUAAAUCUUUAAUAAAAACUAUUUUUUUAAAAAAAAAAACAACUCCAUUUAAAUGGAUAAUAAAUUAGAGGAAUCUGUUAGGGUAGGAUAUUAAGAUGUUAGCCAGACAUAAUGAAUAGAUGGCUUGUUUUUCUGGUGGCGGAGGAGGGUGGGAGGGGGAAGCAUAUAAAGUGUCUUAUCUUAAAUUUGGACUUCCUUAUUAUGGCAACAUUACCAUUAUAUUAUUCUUUUGGAUGUGCAAAGAUUCUUUCCUGUAGGACUUGGCUGCCUUUACAAAAUUCAAAAAGAAGCACAUCAAAAGUUAUAGUAGGUGACAAAUGUUAAUAUUUGUCGAAGGCUCCUGCUUUGAUCCUUCAUUUCUGUUUCUUAAGAGCUUGACAAAUGCGGCCUGUGGUUUGGCUUCAAACAUACUCCGUCUCCCAAGUGCUUUGCUCAGUGUCUUCAUCCCUCUGACCCUCCACAGCAGUUCAGGGCAGAGGGGGCCGGUUGACAGAAGACCUCCAAAAAGUGGAGAAUCAUAGCUAAAGAACAAAGAUUAUUCCGUUGUUGCUGUUGUGAAGAUUUUGGUUUGUUUGUUCUGAGUUUCUGAGUAGUUUUUGCAGUCUGUUUUGUAGUCUAUUACAGUGGUACCUCAGGUUUAGUUCUUAAUUCGUUCCGGAGGUCCGUUCUUAACCUGAAACUGUUCUGAAUCUGAAGCACCACUUUAGCUAAUGGGGGCCUCCUGCUGCUGCCGCGCCGCCGGAGCCUGAUUUCUGUUCUUAUCCUGAAGCAAAGUUCUUAACCUGAAGCACUAUUUCUGGGUUAUCAGAGUAUGUAACCUGAAGCGUAUGUAACCUGAAGCGUAUGUAACCCGAGGUACCACUGUAUUGCAUUUAAAUUCUGCUACCUUACUAUCAUGUGGUCAGGGAAUACAGUCAUUAUAGCUUUUCACCCAUACUCUUCACUAUAUUUGUUUGUUAAAGGUGCUGGGAAUUGUAGCUCUGUGAAUGGUAAACUACAGCUCCCAAGAUUCUUCAUGCUUCAAAACAUUCAGAAACCAAGGUGCGCUUCCGAUUGGCUGCAGGAAGCUUCUGCAGCCAACCAGGAGCCGCAGAACCCACGUCGGACGUUCGGGUUCCAAAGAAUGUUCGCAAACCGGAAUACUCACUUCUGGGUUUGCGGCAUUCGGGAGCCCAAACAUUUGAGUUGCAAGGCAUUCAACUUCCGAGGUAUGACUCUAAUGGGAAAAAUUAAUGAAAUCCACAUCUUACUGAAAUCAGCAAUCAAAACUCCAGGCACCUUUCAAGAAUAGCUUGACAUAUGCUUACCAGUCUGUUUCCUAGCAUCAUAUUGAGCCAAAUUCUAAAGUCCUUGUCAUAUCUGUGAGACUGGAAUCCCUUUAUGGACUACAGCAUGGGUAGACAAACUAAGGCCUGGGGGUCGGAUAUGGCCCAAUCGCCUUCUAAAUCCGGCUCGCGGACAGUCCAGGAAUCAGCGUGUUUUUACAUGAGUAGAAUGUGUGGUUUUUUUUUAAAAAAUGCAUCUCUGGGUUAUUUGUGGAGCAUAGGAAUUUGUUCUUUUUCUCCCCCCCCAAAAAAAAAUAUAGUCUGGCCCCUCACAAGGUCUGAGGGACAGUGAAUUGGCCCCCUGCUGAACAAGUUUGCUGACCCCUGGACUACAGCAAAGUGUAAUGGCAUACCUCUGACAUUUUCAGACACAGUACACUCAUUUCAGUGGUAAGCCUGGGUUAGGUAUUUUUGUGCUCGUCCAUGUUUAAAGCAUGUAAAGUAACAGAAAGUGAUCUAUUUGCUAAAUCAAAAGGAAAAUAAUGCAUGAUAAAAAGAUACUGUAGAUAGUCAGAAGUCAUAAUAAUCCAUUUUACCUGCAUGACCUCAAUUUGCCAGUACAUUAUUGCAUCCUAACCCCAACAAUUUGAAAGCACCCUCUGUUAAAAACGGAACUAUCAAAGAAACCAAUAUAGGUGUUGAUAAUAUAUUAUCUGCCAGUAUUUUAAUUUUCUUGUAUGAGCGUGGAAAAAUAAGAGCAAGCUGGCAAGAACCAUACUUUUAAGCUGCAGUUACUCAUAUCUUGUUUAAUAGAUAUGUAUGAUCUAAUCAAAGUCAGAAAGCUUAAAGUCCCAUUGAAUUUAAUAGAAGGAACUUUUGUACGAUCUUAUAUAUGUCAACUCAGAAAUGUUCCCGGGUAAAUUUCUGUAUAGGAUCAUAAUUUUGCUUACUUUUCUGACUCAAAUAAAUGAAAACUGAAAGUGCUUAACUCUGGUUGGUUAUAGCUCUCUGUGUUUUUUAAUUGUUAUGGAAAAAAAUAACAGACAUGAGGCAAGAUAAAUUUCAACUAUAAAUGGAAAUUAUUAUUUUUUAUAAUGGGAUGAUGAAGGUUUGGAUUCUUAAACUGGUGAGAAAUUUGUGUGGUUUUAAAUUUUUAAAAGAAUUGGCACCCUCCCUCCUCCAAAUUCAGAAUAUAUUUAUAUCAAAUCAAAUGGUUUUAUUUAUAUAUGACUGUUCUGCAAACAUAUGGUUGUAUAUCUUUUCCUUCUUUUAGAAUAUGAUUUCUUGGGGCAGGGGUUAAUUCUGUGCUGUGAAUAAGAAAUCCUCAAAAUUUUCAUUCCUCUCAGCAAUGAAUACAUUAGCAUUAAGAUUCCAGGAAUGAGGAAAAACAAGAUGGUUUAGAGGGAGGUUACUUGUGUAAAUAUUUGAUAUCCACAAAGAGCUCUCCUGUGCUUGGACACCCUUUUCUGUUCACUGUUUUGUUUUAAGAAAAACGUGUGUGUGAUUUAUUUUGCCCUUGGUCCAUGCACUUGAAUCUUUUGACUUCUUACUUCUUACCUUCUAAUACUUGAGGUGGUAUUCAACACCAGUCCUACUCAGAGUAGACCCAUUGAAGUUAAUGCACUUGACUAACUUAGGUUCAUUAAUUUCAGUUGGUCUGCUCUGUGCAGGACCAGAAUUGAAUACCACCCUUGACCAUUUGCUAGUUAAUAUGCACGUUACAAAAUAUGCCAUUUACCUAUACCUCCAUUCUGCUUCUGAAACUUUCCUUUUGCCUGUAAAAUAAACAUCGGGCCCCAAUCUAGCUAAAGGUAGUCACUUUGGGUGACAUUCAAUGUUAGUCAUAGAGUAAACCCAUAUAAAAUAAAUUAUGACUUAGUCGGAUAUCACUCUAUAAAUCCAACUCAAAGAAAUAGGACUGAAAUUAGUCUUACAACUAACUUCCACUUUCAGUGAGAAUUGUUUAGCUGGACUUGAGCCUAGGAAUUUAGCAACUUUAUUUAUUUAUAUUUUUGUUUCAUAAAAUUUAUACACCACUUCUACAAGAUGUAUAAGCAGAAGGGAGGGAGUUUGAAAGUGUAGGUGCUGUCACACUAAAAUAUCAAUUCCUUACCAAUGUGGAAUGGGUAUUAUGUGGUGUCUAUAACAGUGCCAGUUCUGCGGAUCUCAGUGGUCAGGCUCAAAGGUAAGCUAGUCCCAAGUUGUUAAGGGCCUUAUAUGCUAACAGGAAUACCUUGAACCUCUCCGGUUGCAAAUCAGCAACCAGUGCAGAUCUCUGGACACAGGUGCUGCGUGCUGAUAAGGUCUCAUUCCUGUCAGCAAUUGUGCUGCAGCGUUCUGCACUAACCGCAACUUCUGGAUCAAGUGCAAGGGAAAGAACUCCCCAAUAACGGUGUAUCUGUGUAUCUUAUGCACAGUUUCGUUACCCUGGCUUCCUUGUAUGCGGUUUUUUGCUUUUUCUUUUUUUCUUGGGAGGUAAGGUAAAGGACCCCUAGACGGUUAUGUCCAGUCAAAGGCGACUAUGGGGAAUUCAUUGCUGAUCGGCAUAACCUUCCUAUCUGUUUGUGACCUUGAGUGUCUAUAUGCAAAUGCUGAAGGUGAAAACUGGGGGGAAAGGUAGAGUGGGAAAAUGCUGAGAAGAAGGUGGGGAGAUUCAAAACGCCCUGCUCCUGGGCUAGGGCAGACACUGAGGCACCUUCAAAAGAGAAGGAACACAUUCCCUCCUCAGCCGCGCCCCCACCCAGCUUGUUCGAUACCCUCCUCAAGGGCUUUGACCUGGCUGGAAUGUGUUCUUGAAGGGUCAGAUAUUGCCUCUAAACUAGGGAUGACUAAGCUGUGGCCCUUCAGAUGUGGCUGGAUAUACAUUCUGUUUGUGAAUAUUCAAAUAAGGUUCCAGUUGCGACUUGCGCAAUGAACAGAUAGCUGUUGUGAAGUUUUCUUUUGAGAAUGGUUUAAACUAGUGGGAUCGUGCAAAAUGUGUAAUUCCGUGCCCUUGUGGAAUAAACGCAAUCCUUUUGCCACUGAAAUCGAUGACAAUACUCCGCAGGGCUGGACUGCACCAAUUGACAUUAAUCAUCAACCUCUCCUCCUGAAGAGUUCUAUAGAAGCUAAGGGAGAGAGGGGUCGUGGUUCUUUCUGCUUGUCCUCUCUGCUAUGAUGUUUAUCUUCUUUCUUGAAAAGGAUUAGAGGUUCAGGUUCUAUUGUUCUUCUUCUAAGAUUACUGGAGUGGGCACUUGAGUCAUCCCUGUAGUCACCUUUUAUGUCAUUGUUUGUGUGAGCCCAAAUGAAAAUGUGGUUUGCUCAGUGGUAACUGUUAAGCUGGCUAUGCUUCAGAAGAAUUAGAGGAGUCUGCCAUCUAGUCUUCUAAUUUGCUGCUUCGUUAACAUCCACCUUUUCUCUUCCGGCUACUUUCCCAGUGGAUCUCCUUUCCCAUUGCAAAUAGAGCAGCAGCAGCAGCCAUGAAGUGGCACUGGUCUCUCUCCAGGUCCAGCUUCCCGCUGCAGAAAAUCCAGAACAAGAGCACUCCAAGCAGAUGGUUGUCCAGCCUUCACUUUAAGACCUCCAGCAAUGGAGAGCCCACCAUCCCUCUAAGUCAGGGCUAGGGAACUUUUGGCCCUCCAAUGUUGCUGGAAUCCAGUUCCCAGCAUGGCCAAUAAUUAGGAAUGAUGGGAGUUGUACUCCAGCAACUUCUGAUACAUAAGUGGUUCCAUUGUCAAAUUCAUGUUACCAUCAAUAUAUUUUUCAAUUGAAAUCUACCAUUCUGUAACUUAAGCCCCUUCUAUCUAGUCCUGUCCUCUAGAGCGGUGGAAAACAACAUUCUGUCUUCUAUGUAACAGCCCUCCAGGCCACAUGUGAAGAGUGCUAUCAUGUCCUCAGUCUUAUUUUCUCCAUGCUAAACACUAUCCAGUUACAGUGGUACCUCGGGUUACAUACGCUUCAGGUUACAGACUCCACUAACGCAGAAAUAGUACCUCGGGUUAAGAACUUUGCUUCAGGAUGAGAACAGAAAUCAUGCUCCGGUGGCACGGUGGCAGCAGGAGGUCCCAUUAGCUAAAGUGGUGCUUCAGGUUAAGAACAGUUUCAGGAUAAGAACGGACCUCCGGAACGAAUUAAGUACUUAACCCGAGGUACCACUGUACUUUUAACCUUCGUCAUAGGACUUAACUGCCCGACCACUGACCAUCUUUGUUGUCCUCCUCUGGCCCUGUUCAGUGGUACCUCGGUUUAAGAACAGUCUGGUUUAAGAACAAUUUGGUUGACAAACUCCACAAAACUAGAAAUAGUGUCCCAGUUUGAGAACUUUACCUUGGUCUAAGAACGUAAUCUGAAAGGUGGAAGGGCACUGGCGGCGGGAGGCCUCAUUAGGGAAAGCACACCUCGGUUUAAGAACGGAUUUCCGGAACGGAUUAAGUUCGUAAACCGAGGUACCACUGUGCUCUUCUUAAAGUGUGGUGCCCAGAACUGGACACAGUACUCCAGACAAGGUCUAGACCAUCAGCAGGUGCCCUACUAUGCCAUCUGGCACCAUCUGCAACUAGUAGAUGCAACCUAAGAAGUCGGAGAGUCCUGGAGUAUAGAGAGUCAUGUAGUAACUGUGUUGCUGCUGUUCUUUUAUGCCGCCAGUAUAUAAACCUUAACAGUACUUUGUCCUUACCACUUCUAAAUCUCCUAUUUUGGUUAACCUUCCCUAUCUAUAUGCCAGAAUGACACUAUGCCAAUGGAGAUGAGAGGGGAUUCUGGAGCACUGCAGGAAUGCGAUGCCUACUCGAGAAAUUACAUAAAAGUACUGAACUUUGUUGUAUGCUUGCGCUAAUACCUUAAAAUACAGUACAAUCCAGUACAUGUUUCAUUGAAAAUUCACCCUUCUGUUUAUUUGCUUAUUUAUUUUACUAUGAUCUUUUGUUGCUUUCCUUGCUUUGAUCCAAAUAUUUUCCUGGGCUUCCGGUGAUAAUUGAUUUUGCUUCUCCGUUAAUUUGUUCUGUAGAGCUGUUGUGGUUUUUGUUUAGCUUGAAGCUGUUGCUGUUCAUUGCUCUGCUUGAGGGCUGCCGAAAUCCCCUUGUUUUAUGGGUUUUAUGAAGUUUGCUGGGUGCCCUCGGACCAGUCACUGCCUCUCCACCUUACCUACCUUACACGGUUGUUGUGUGGAUAAAAGGGUGAAUGGGUAGGAAGAAAGACAAAUGCUGUGUUUUGCUCCUUUGGAGGAAAAGCAGCAUACAAAUGAAAUAAAUAAUAAGAGCACACGGUCCCCCCUCGCUUCCUAAAUGCCUUUUGCAUAAAUGGAUAAGUUUCCUGUCUGGUGAGGUAAUUUCAUUUGCACAUUAUGCUUCAUGGGAUAUCCUUUAUUUACCCAAUGCUUUCCUGUCCACUCUUUUCAAGCUAUGUAUCUUGCAUAUUUUAUAUACACAAAGGUGACUUUUCCUUCCUUUAAUGACCGCGGCUUAUCAGUGCAGGCAACUGAUACUGGACUCAUAAAUAUGUCACUCUCCCUGUUUAAUUCAUGGUCCCCCUCCUUUGGAAGAGGACUCCUUUACUGUCUCCCUCACCCCCUGCUCGCUGAGCCCCCCACCCUCCCCGUCCACUUGCAUCUUCCUCAAAUCUCCAGAACUCUCCAUUGGUUGAUAUAAAUAAAUCACCCGUGUAAACUAUCAGCCGAAGUCAUUGUAGCCCAGAGUACACAGGGAAUAUAAAUACAAGGUCAGUGGAGCCAGCGCCUUCCGAUUCUAAUUAAAUAUUUCCUGUAAGUCGGUGCCAAGUGUGCAUCUUGUAAGAACAUUUGGAGGCAGGAGUUUGAACUCCCAAGGACCCUGUUGCCUUAAAACCUGUUUCCUGCUUAACAACAUUUAACAAGGAGAGCCAAACAUGCGCCAUCAGCAACAAAAGUCAUUGUAAGCAGUCCCAAUGUGCAAAGGUGCUUGGUUUCCUCUCUGCAAUAUUAAUGUGUGCCUUACCCAGCCGGUCUUUCUGUCAUGUGGGAGUUUGUUUGCAUGACUCAGUCUCCCUUUCCCCCACUAGAACAGGUUUCUCACGGGUCAUUCUUUGCUUGGACCUCGUUUUCAAUGUAGCAUGGAAGAACAGCUCAGUAGUAGAGCAUUUGUUGUUCAUGCGAAAUGUCCCAGGAAUCUCCAGGUAGCAUUGGGAAAGAGCCCUGCCUGAAACUCUGGAGAAUUGCUGUCAGUCAGUGUAGAAAAUAGUGAGAUCAGUGGUCUGACUCAGCAGUUCCUACAUGCCUAAUAUGGACUAAGAAUGGCUACAAGGUUCUUGGACAAAUGACUACAUCUUACAUGCCUGGCCAAUGCAAGGAAAAUUCAAAUACUGUUUUACAUAACACAUUUACACAGUCCACACAUAUAGUUAAUUUCAACAGGUGUUGUGGCUUGCUUACUCAGUUUCUGUAUAAGUGUGGGUAACGCAACAGGCGUAUUAGGGGUAUAUACAGCUCAGUGUCAGGGCUCUAAACACAGGCCUGCAUCAGGGUUUCUGUUGACAUAAGGAAGAGUAGGGAGCUUGCUACGAGGCUGUCCUAGUAGCCUAAAUACAGUACAUUUAAGACCCUUCAAGGAAUUCCUGCUCAAAAUGAGCCGCCUUCUGAUGUAAUGUGGGUAGCUAUAAGAAAUUAAGCCCUACUCAGCUGUUGCCCUCUCCCUAUUGAACUCACCCCUUUGUUGGUUUUUAGAAAGCUGGUGGAAAAAAUAUUUUUAAAUACGCACUUGGGUUUUUGUUUCAUUGUUGCAUAUUUUAGCUGAUGCUUUUUGAUGCUGAUUAUUUUUAAUUGCCUCUAAGCCACCUUGAGAUUCCUUGUCCAAGAAGGAAGAUGUUUUAUUCAAACAAAACAAAAUAAUUACUUCAUAUACUGUAUUUCCAAAGCCUCUUCCAGACUGUUGCUGAUUUGCAGCUUAAUUCAGUUAAAGGGACCCCUGACCAUUAGGUCCAGUCGUGACCGACUCUGGGGUUGUGGCGCUCAUCUUGCUUUAUUGACCGAGGGAGCCAGCGUACAGCUUCUGGGUCAUGUGGCCUGCAUGACUAAGCCGCUUCUGGCGAACCAGAGCAGCACACGGAAACACCGUUUACCUUCCCGCAGGAGCGGUCCCUAUUUAUCUACUUGCACUUUGACAUGCUUUCGAACUGCUAGGUGGGCAGGAGCUGGGACCGAGCAAUGGGAGCUCACCCCAUUGUGGGGAUUCGAACCGCCGACCUUCUGAUUGGCAAGUCCUAGGCUCUGUGGUUUAACCCACAGCGCCACCCGCGUCCCUUUAAUUCAGUUACAUGCCUGCAAAUUCAGGUUGUGUAAUACAGUGAAUUUGGUGCUCUUGUACAACACACCUGCUUCCCCCACCCCAAAAUUUGAUGUUUUAUGAUAAGAAAAGUGACAGAAAACUAGCCUGGAAAGUGUGGUACAUCUGCACAUUUCCACUUUAAAUAUUUGGUUGACAGGAGGCUUUGCACUGAUUAAAUUACCCUUAAUAUAGUAUGGGUUGUUUGUUUACUGAAAAAAAGAACCACAUUAAAAGGCCAAAUUCUCUUCUGACUGUGUGAAGUGAUAUAGAAUUAUUUCUGUGCUAUGCUAGUCCAUUGUAGCAAAAUCAGGAGAGUCUUGUAGCAUCUUAAAGACUAACAAAGCUUUUGUGGACUAGAAUCAAUUUCAAUGGAUACAUUGAAGUGUUGUCCUAAAUUGGCCAGUAUACAUUCACGUGACACAAGGGGACAAUGAUAAAAUGUGGCCUUUCUGUGAGCUUCCCUUUUUGCCAAAGCAAUGGGUGGGGUGGGCGUGUAAAAUUUAAAAUAGUAACACAAAGUGCCAUGAAAUGCAAGAAGUAUAGUGUCUGACAAUUUAAUCAAAGCUUAAAUGUAUGCAAAUGUUCUGUGACCAUUUAAAUAGUCAUUGCUGAUAACAUCUUAGAACAGCUGAGGAAAUUAACAUUUGAAUUGGAAGACAUUGUCACCAUUUGGGCCCAGACAAAUAAAAUCAAACUUCAUUGUGAGUUUCAGUUCAGCUGUCUCAUUCUGGAAUCCCUUUGAAAUUCUUACUGCAGCUUUCAGUUCCCAAGAAGAUUCAAAUGUUGCCCUACUGGUUUCUGAAUGAGUUACAUGGUGUCCUAGGUAAUGUACAUAUGCAUUUUCAGGUUGCCUAUAGCUCUUCAUCAAGCAGAAUGGAAGGAUAACUGAUUCCCAGUUAAACAGACAGCAAGAUUCAUUUAUUAAGGCAGAUAUUCUAGUCACUUUAAACAGUAUCAUGAUACAUGAAUAUGUACAGUCCAGUACCCAGUUAAAUGCACUCAAAUGCCAUAGACUUAAAUGAGGUGUAGUCAUCCUUAGUUGUGCUGUGAACUGAUGUAGUGGCAAAGUGGCACUCAGAAUUUCCCAGUUCAAAUCUCACCUAUGUCAUUAACUGCCUACAUCAGGCAUAGGUAAACUCGGCCCUCCAGCUGUUUUGAGACUACAAUUCCCAUCAUCCUUGACCACUGGGCCUGUUAGCUAUAGAUGAUGGGCGUUGUAGUCCCAAAACAUCUGGAGGGCUGAGUUUGCCUAUGUUCUGAGGCAAGACAGUUUUUGCUCAGCCUCCCUUCAGCACCUGCAAGUUGUUGUUGUUGUUGCUGUUAUACCUUACAGAGUUGUUGUAAGGUUACCGGUAAUUUGAUAAUAGAUAACAAGUAAAGGAAGCUGUGUUGGUCCAUAAGAAAAAUAAAGUUUAUUUAGGAUAAUACUUUUAUAAGGCCAACCCAAAUUUCACAAAAUAGUAUGCAAGUUUUAAACUUCUCCGGGCUUAUCAGGCUACAUGGUAAAGAAAACAAGUGGGGCAAUUGGCUGCUGGUAAAGCCAUAAGUGUACAUCUUACAAAAAUUGGCCUAAUAAAAGUUGUAUUGACCUAAUCUGGAUUUUGGAAUACCUAAAACAUGUUAGCUUUCAAAGUGCUACAUAAAUGCUAGGUAUUAUUAUUGUAGGGACGCGGGUGGCGCUGAGGGUUAAACCACAGAGCCUAGGACUUGCCGAUCAGAAGGUUGGCGGUUUGAAUCCUUGCGACGGGGUGAGCUCCCGUUGCUCAGUCCCUGCUCCUGCCAACCUAGCAGUUCGAAAGCACGCCAAAGUGCAAGUAGAUAAAUAGGUACUGCUCUGGUGGGAAGGUAAACGGCGUUUCUGUGCGCUGCUCUGGUUCGCCAGAAGUGGCUUAGUCAUGCUGGCCACAUGACCCGGAAGCUGUACACUGCCGGCUCCCUUGGCCAAUAAAGCGAGAUGAGCGCCGCAACCCCAGAGUCGGUCACGACUGGACGUAAUGGUCAGGGGUUCCUUUACCUUUACCUUAUUAUUAUUGUACACCAGACUUUCAGUUUUGCUUUGCUUUUAUAAACCCCAACAAUGUAAACAAUGGAGAGAAUAUACGUUUGAGUGUAUGUUUCUUGAUAUAUCUGUAUCCUUGUUGUAUUAGGAAGUGGUGUGUAUCUAUCUAAGAGCUAUCAUUUCAAAGCUCUGAAAGGAAAGUUAAAGCUGCAGCGAUAAUUCUCCCUCCCGUUCCUAAAGUUUGAUGCUUCCCCAAAACUUCCUCUUGUUCUCCUUUGCAAUGACCUACUUCGCAUGUAUUCAGAUUGAUAUUAUCAUUUCUAAUAAAUGCAUGUAAAGAAAUGGAAAGGAAGCUAGUGCCAAACUGAAACAAUAAAAAGAUGACAGCUGAUACAACCAGGCUCUAUCACCAGGAAAACAGAUUCCUGAGCGCGUGCAAAUAUCCUCUGUAUACUGCUAAUCACAGAAAACAUGGAAGGCAGCCGCCUUGCUUUAAUAGAUUAUUUACAUUUCUUCAUAUCUGUCAUCAGUCUAUCGUGUCCUUUGUGUGUGCUUGUAGUUUCAGAUUAAAGAGGCUGCUUCAAGAAGACAGGAUUUCUGGCAACAUUUGUUUAGGAGCCUGACUAGUCAGUAGCUGGAAUAUUUGGUUUGCCAGCUAAUCCAGUUAACUCAGAAUUAGUUGGAAUGAUUAAGCAAUCCCUUCAGGGUCUGUUUCUUUUUAAAAAACAACAACAACAAUAACCCAUGCUUCUUCUACACACCCAAAUGAUGCAAGAAACAGGUUAGAAUUUGAGAGAAAAGCCUGCCACAUCAUUACUCCUCAAUGCUUGUAAAAAAAUUGUUGUGCUGGCAUUCAUACACUGAAAAAUUGUAAAAUGCCUCUCUUGCUCCUCCUCCUUCCUGUGCUGUUCCCCCCUCUAUUUGUAGUGAACUUUCAACAUAAAAGUAGACAUAAAAAUAGUGUGUGUGUGUAGUUUUAGAAAUGCCCUUCUUUACCUGAAUUUUUAAUGAUAAAAAAUUAAGACCUUGCCAAGGGGCACAAAGUGACCACUGUGCACAAAAUGAGAGUGUGUACAAUAAUCAGGACAAAAGGGAGAAAUGUGCUAAGAAGUCGGCAUGUUUGGCAAACCCUCACCAUGAUCAACUCCCGCCCAGAAACCUAUGUCCCCACUGUGGAAGGAUGUGCGGUUCCAGAAUUGGCCUCCACAGUCACUUACGGACUCACGGUUAAAACCGUGUUUAUGGAAGACAAUGUUACUUGUACUUGGCUACAAGUGAUCGCCAAAGAAGAAGAAAUAUACAGUCACUGCUGAUUCUUUGCCCCCAAAACCUCAUGCCUAACAUGGGAAGUCAGCUAUGACCUACUGGUCCUGAUUACGGAGAUCACACAAUACUGGAAUCACACCAACACCCAAUAAUGUUGUUGUCUAAUGACAACAGGGAACUUUCCCCAGUACUAGGGAAAUUACACAAGGGGACCUGGCUGGGGUCCAAAACAUCUGGGGAGCACCAAGUUGACAAAGCUUGCUAUAGAAUUUGUAUCCUGAGUUAACCAUGCCUUGCUAGUUCUCACCAUUCUACCUAUGAUUUCUUUUAAAAUCAGAGUCCUCCACCUCACCCAUUUUGGUUCCCAGGCUCCUAGCAUUAGCAUAUAAAUACAUGGUGUCUCUCUCCAAAUGCCUGUGUUAUGUACAUUUUACCUUGCAGCACUUUGACUUGAUAGGAUUGCUAUCCUGUCUCCCUGCACUUCUAUUGUCUAGUUCUACCCCUCUGCCAUUCGGACAAUCAUUAACAAGCUUGGCUCCACCCUGGGUCACAAGUUGCUUUUAAAACUGCCAGUGGAAAGAAAGGCGAUGCAAUGGGAUGCAAUGAGUUAUCUGGAUCAGGGCAUCUGCAUCUGAGUUGGUUCUCCUACCCACCCACCCCGACUUACAUCAAUUGUUUUAAUUAGUUCAUACACCUAUCAUUGAGUAAAAGGAAGGCACAUUCACUUGGUGACUGUUCUUAUAUUUAUGAUUUGGAAGUUUUAAACAUUAAGGCCCAACUGAACAUGUUUAUUCUGCAUACAUGGCAUUAAAGAAGCUGCUGAACAGAAAACUCUUUUGUGCAAGAACGUUAAGAUGUCCCAACAUACUCAGCUUUCAUUUACAUAAUUGCUGGUGUGGUCAGAGGACCAGGUAUUUGGUUUGGAGAUCUGAGAUUCCCAUCCCCACUCAGCUAUGUUACUGCGGAGACUGGAGCAAAACAGUUACCGGUACUCAAUCCAAUUUAUGCUGAUGAUUGACAGGACACAGUGAUAUAUAUCUAUAUAUAUAUAGAUAUAUAUAUAUAGAUAUGGAAAAGGGGUCUAUGCUUUUAUUAUUUUCAACUCUUGUGAAACCCUAUCCAUAUUUACUCAGAGGUAAAUUCCAUCAAUUCAGUGGCAUUUAUUUCCUUGUCAGUAUACUUAGGGCAAAAAUCACAUGUGCAUUUUAAAGCAUUUUCACUUAUCACUUGGGAAUCUUCCACAGUGUCAGUUAAUAUUUAUUACUGCACUUCAUAUGUUAAGCUUUCCAGAUUAAGCAGCACUUUAUAUCAAUUUAGGUCCAGCUAAUGCAGAAGACACUCCCCCAUAUUCCUAUCCCAGUGUCCUGUGGCCAGACUAAGAGGAACUCCCACACUAUAUUUCCUGACUAUUCACCCACAGUAGCUCAAAACAAGAAUCUUCUAACACAAGUAUUAUUGUCCAUCACUAUGAACAUGGAGCGACAAAGAUUUACGAAAUGAGCCAAUUCCUAAAAUAUAGAACUUUCUUUCUUUCUUUUCUUUUUCUUCAUACCAUUUCAUACUAUUUACUCUUCUUAGUUCAAUAAAAUAUUGGUUCUCAGAAGAUGAGGUAAUUAAGUAAAAUAAUAAUGCCCCCUAUAAAACAAACCCCAUAAAAGAAUUCAGCUUUAGGAAACAGAAAAGGAAGGAAACUACAACUUCUGUCAAAGCAUGGAGAUGAGAUUAGCAUUAUUAAAGCAUUCUUCAGAGAAAAUAACGAUAAUGUGGUUUAACAGGCAUUCCACUACCUCUUAUUUCCAUUAUGUGUCCCCUACGGUAUGUGCUUUCUUAAUUAAAUGUAAGGGAAAGACCUGCAAAAGCACUUUCUGUUUUAAAAAAUAGCUGCACUCAUAAUUACCCGGCUAAUUAUUUAGAGCAAAUGUCCAUUGUUUAAUGUCCUAAAAACAUCGCCAACACAUAAUUCACCUAGUUGUAAAAUAUUUGAAAUUAAAACCUGUAGCUAUGUCAAAAACUGUUCCAUCAUAAAUACAAAGGUGUUAAUCAGUUGGAAGUGACUGCUUUACUUCUAGGUCUAUAUUGACUAAACUACUAUAUCUACUACUGCAGUACUACUCUCAUUAAAUAGCAAUAGAUUACGAGUAAUGUUGAUCAAAUUAUUAGAAAUGAACAAUGUACUUGAAGAAGUCAUUUCUCUCUGUGUGUGAGUGUGUCUGAGAGAGGAGGGUUUCUUUGCCCUUGUAAAGUUCCCUCCAGCAGGGGCGUCUUACCCAUUAGGGUUAGGGGCGUCCUGCGCCACGGCGCGCGCCCAUCAGGGGCGCUCAGCAGCGGGAGUCCGGGGCCCAGGGGCAUAGCAACGGGGGUGCAAUGGGGGCACACCGCCCCGGGCAGCAUUUUGGGAAAGGGUGCCAUUGCGGCUGCCCCCCCCGGCACGCCCCGCGCCCUCCCGGGACGCGCGCCACGCCCCCCAUGCAGCCAGCCAGCCGAACCCAGCGCGCAAGCACAAGGGAGGCGCAGCAAAGUGUGCAAUGGGGAUCCCUUGUGCUUGCGCGUCGGGCUCGGCUGGCUGGCUGCAGAGAGCGAGCGAGAGCAGCGCCUCCGUCGCCGGCUGCCUUGGCAGCCUCCCUCCCUCCUUGCCCUCCCCCAGCCGGGCACUGUGGCCGGGCAGUCAGGCUGAAUCUUUGGCCAGCAACCGGGGGGGGGGACCCAUCUCCCCGCUCCGCCUUUGCGCGGCCGCUGCUACAACUGGGAAGCGACAGGCGAGGCGGGGAGGAGUUUGGAUGGUUGCGGGGAGGCCAGGAGAGGAACGGCUCCAAAGGUAUUCCUCCCCCCCCCUUCCCGCCAUUUGGACAUGCACGUUGCACGCUAUGCAACCCCGUGGGUGCAAAACCAGCAAGAAGAUCACGCAGUGGGAUCCAGGAGUACCAUUUUUUUAAAAUACAAAGAGCUAAAUCCAAAAGAAAACACUGCUUUCAGCCUGGUGUGACCCAUGUUAGGUUUACCCACCCAACCCUUUUUUGGCAGGCGAGUUGUGUGUGUCCGUUCUGUUUUGCCCUCCUCUGAUGCAUUUGGAGGUGUCCACUGUUUGUAAGGCAUUUCUAUCCAAGUGCAAUUUGGGAAGCCCAUUGGGUGACCUUGGGCCACUCACUGUCUGCAAGCCUAACCUACUUCACAGUGUUGUUGUGAGAAAUGUGAAAGGGGUAAACUCUGCAUGCCACCCUGAGCUCCUUAGAGCAAUGGUAAAUGUAUUAAGAGACAGGGGCAUGGUGGGCCGGCUCUGGUGUCAUUCCUCAGGGUUGGUGUCAAAAAUCCCCACUGGGUGAUUCUGCGCUGUGGCACUCGGUCGCCUGGCAGCUUGCGCACCCCCAUCAGCCUGUGUGUGCACUCCUGUUCUGCGCAGCAAGCCUCCCUGCUCUCCAUGCAAUUAGUGGUUAAAAACAAACAAACACCAACAAAAAGACUUUAAAGACGGGGACAGGUUUUAAGGUCCUAUUAGAUUCAGCAGGGCUUACUCUCAGGUAAGUGCAGUUGUGACCCAGGUUUUGGGUCCUUUUUAGGUUCGGGAUGUCACUGCUUUACACCCACACCCACCCCACGCCCCACAAUAUUUGAAAACAUCAGCUUUGUACUUAAACACAAAUUGACCAGGAACUUCAUUCUCUGUGUCUUUAUCAAUUUAUUUAAAGAACAAGAAACUGGUGAUUGCUUUAACUUUUAGAUAUAAGUGGUGAUUUAAAUCAUGAGGAUAAAUUAGAAGAACUGCUGAGUCUUGAAUGAGUCUUGCUGUGGAAUUGAGGACUUCAUUAGAUUUUCUUCUGCAUUUUCAUUUUAUUUUGUUCCAAGGGCUUGUUAGAGAUAAUGUGUAAGUGUGGUGUCAGCUCCCUAAAAAAAGGAACCUUUCCUAAAAAAGGCCGAAAACUCUGGGAAAUGGGGGGGGGGCACUGGAGGGAUCUUUGCACCACAGCGCCAGAUAUCCUUAAGAUGGCCCUGCCCUCCUGUUUCGUUUAAAACCCUGCUUCUUCAGGUGAGAUGUGCAGAUCACCUGAGUAGGCAUAACUGUGAUCUUCUCUCCAAUCUUCAACUAAUAUUGCUGGAAUCAGUCAAUAGCUCCCUAGAGGACAAAAUCUCUCAUUGCUUUCCUCCCUCUAGGAACAAGUGAUGCUUCCCCCAGAGCUCAUGUCAAUGAUGGUUUUACAAUGCACAUAAUUCUCAUUUUACACAGUGGUUAAAGCUAUGUAUGUACCCUACAUCCUUAGGGGGCUUCUGUACCAUGAUGCAUAGAAAGGGGGGAAAGGAGCAUGUUGUUUAGCUUCUUAUGCCACAGUGAAGAGCUGCAUAUUGUAGAAAAUUCCCUACUUUGAAGCAUACAGUCCUCCAAAUGCUCUUUUUAGCCCAGGGCUUUUUGACUCACUUAGAAUCCAGUCCGCCUUUGAAUCCAGGCACGUAAUCCCUAUGUGUUGCCAGAGUGCUAGAGCUCUAAAUACAUAACAUUUCAGGGGCAGUAAUUAGGUACCAGCUCAAGCCUUUAAAUAAUAUUGUUACAACCUGUCUUGUUUUCCACAUGGAAAGUGGAAAAACAAUGGCAAAAAGGUCAGCCUAUUCAUAGAUUCCACAGUAGGUAGCUCCUGGUCCAGACAUUUCCUAUUUUGGCAGUUCAUUAGCUGGGCUAUGUAUAGUGGACGUUCUCUUUUGGAGCUUGUUCAUUUCUGAGAGUCUGAAGCUCUAAUUGACAUAGGAAUGGAUGGAUUUAAUGUAGUUCAAGUGUGGGCAGCUCAGGGAAGCCAAUCCAAGUUAAUACCAUUGCUGUUCACGUUAUUGUUGUCAAACACCAUCGUUUCUUGGCCUCUUGGUUUCUGGGUGUUCAAAGUGGUGCAUGGAGAAUAACAAAAACCCUUUCGCACCAAAGGUACCUAAUAUUUUUAAAAUACGUAACUACAAUGCAGAAGCCAUCAGAACAUAAUGGGCAGAUUAGAAGCAGUCAACAAAUUCAGUGUCAUGCGCCAUUAAAUGGGCAAGCAGAUUUUUUUACUUGUUGCCUGAAAAUCAUCAGAAAGUCCAAGAAGGGAAAGAGAAACUGCUCUUGAAACUAAGGCUGUGUAUGCUUCAACUUACAUUUACUCUUCAUGCAGUGCUUUCCCACUGCUGGUUUGAGAAGUGUUGUACACACGACAGUAGCUGCAAUCCCUAUUUUUCCUAUGUCUAUCUAAUCGUAUCUAAUGAAGUGCUAUGUUUUGUUGUAUUCCCCCCCAAGCCAGCUUCAAUGUGAACUGAGAAAAGGAAUGACCUAGCUGCAUUUUAAGCUGGUUUUGUGUGUCCAGCAUAUUUAAAGGCCAAUCUCGUCUCAUUGAAACUUGCCAAUACAUUAAUCAUGAUUUCAUUAAUACAAUAAUCUUUAAUGGGUGAUUCAGAUCUGAUUUUUUAUUUGCCGCAUUAGCUUCCAAACUGUCAUGUUUUUCUCUCCAUACCAGUGCGUGGAACGUCAUCCCUCUUCCACACCUACCACUGCCUAUUUACAUUCUGAACAUUGUCCUCACCUUUAAAAAUCCCAGAAAGUAUUCAAGACUCCAAGAACAAACAUUACCAGCCUUAGUUGGUGUGUUUCACAAUGUGUGGAGUGGAGCUUUGUGCUUUUUCCGUUUUAUGGUGGGUGUACAAUGCCCAUUCCCAUUUGGGCUUUAAAAAACAACGGAAGUAUUGGGCAAGAACAAUAUUUACCUGACUAGUUUGCACAAUAGUGUUUUGAGUAAUGGCCAUUUUCACAUUCGCAUGCUUGAACCAUAAACCCAUGCAAAUGGUUUAAAGAGCUCGACCUAGCUCAUUAUUUCACACGCUGCUGCAGGAGCAAUUGCAAUAUGUGUGAGCAUGCAUGCGCGUGUGUGCGCUUCAGCCAUUGCUGCCUCUGUCUCUCCCAGGCUCUGCUGAGUCAAGGUGGGCAGAGCGAGUGGUAGCAGAAGAGCACAGGGAUUGGAUAGUGGCCGUUGGUCUCACAUCCACUGCUCUGCACAGCUCUUCUGCGCCCAGCAGCAGGAUGCAAACCCUUUCAGGCCAUAGGACUGAAAAGAAAGCUGUGAGAUUAUUAGUUUUGCAGGCUCCCCAGUUCCACCCAGGUACUAAAAGUUUUGAAAUAAAAAACUGGAACUCUGUCUCUUCUGGUAGUCAAAGCUUUUGCAAAAAAGGGCUCCCUUGGGGAGUGUUAAGGAAAGUGUCUUUUCGAGCACUGUGAUCAAGAGCACAAGGCAUGACACUGGGCAACAGCUACAGCUACUCAACACUUCUGGGUCCAGGGUCUAUUUUUAACAGUGUGUGUGUGUGUGUGUGUGUGUGUGCGCGCGCAUAUAUAUAUAUAUAUAUAUAUAUAUAUAUAUAUAUAUAUACACACACACACACAUACAUAUAUACACACCCUCUUAUGAAGGAGCCACACCAUUGCCUCAUAAAAGCUGGAUGACAUUCCCUCCUCUGCACCUCCCAUCCUAGGUACCAAGACACUCCCUGGAUCAACCCCUUCAGUCGCCUUUGGCUAGUUGUUAUAAUAUAAGCCAUGAUGGACAAGGGUCAAAAGGGCACUGAUGUGGCUGCUCAAACUCCUUCAGGCAGGUUGCAUCUACCAUUACAUUGCCAUAAUUUGCAUUUUGUGUUUCUAUAUUGUGAUUUUAUGUUGUAACCACCCUGAGGGUAUAGGGUAAUAAUAAUAAUAAUAGAAGAAGAAGGAGAAGGAGAAGGAGAAGGAGAAACUGAUCCAAAAUAACCUGACUAGAUUGUGCUCUGGAAACCUCCAUGAUGAUGAACUCACCACGAACAGUGGUAUCCAAUUCCCUGCUAAUCUGAUCAAUCAAUUAUUCCUUUUAUUUUCUUUUUCUUUUCUUUUGUGUACCUGGGCUGGGGGCUUUUCUGUAGCAGCAGUCCAAUGGAACUCCCUUCAUUUGGAGAUUAGGUUGGCCCCAUUUUUGGCAAGACUGCAAAUACUGUUCGUUCAUCUUUCAAUGAGUGUUAAGUUCUCCACCUUCGGAAGCUGUAGGCAUCUGAUUACCAGUUGCUGGGAUCUGCAGCUGGAGAGAGGACUGCUGUGCUCAGGUUUUGCUUGUGAAUUUCCUAUGGGCAUCUGAUUGGUCACUGUGAGAACAGGAUUCUGGAAUGAGACUUUGGCCUGAGUCAGCAGACUCAUGUUGUGUUCUUGGGCUGUCUGGCUCUGUUUUAGUCAGGGUUGUGUUCUGUUUUUAAGUUGUGUUUUGGAUAUGUAUUGUUUUUAAUUAUUGUGUAUUACCUUGUGGGAUCUUGAGAUUCAUAAAAAAAUUCUACUACUAAUAAUUUAUUUUACAGUUAGCAAGAUUGAACCUGGCAAAGGCCUGAUAUAAAUCAUCAAAUAAAUCAUGAUUUAUAUAAUGUGGGCAUCACAUUUAAUAAAGCCAUAGCAGAAAUGAAUAGAUGGAAGUUCAGUACUGUCAGGGCUGCCUCAGGUCUCAGCUCACAAAAGACCAACGCCAAGUUCUUCUUAUAUACAAAGGCAUUUAUUGGAGUUCAUUGUUUGCUUCACAUCCGAGGUGCGCAGCCCCACGUCUGUUACGCUUAGACCGUUGAAGUCCCCUCUGAGUCAGUCCCUCCCCUGCACCAGUUUAAGAGGCUUGCGCUGCUCCACCUCUUCCUCUCUUUCCUUUUCCGCAGGGUCUUCCUGCCCGCUGGGGUUUCGCCCCUCCUGGAUUCCCCUGACGCGGAAUCCCCAGAUUGCUCUUCCCCCCUCCUGCGGGCUUUGGGAGCAGGCUCCUCCUCCGGGCUCCCUGUACUUCCGCGCGCCUCCACAUUUGAACUUGGCGCGCGCGCCCAACCUCUAACCUUCCUUUUGACAGUUACACUACUCCCUUCACUACUCCCCUCCCCUUCCGGGAGGGUGGCUUGCUCCGACCUCCCUCCCUUCUCUGCUGCCGGAGCUGCUCCCCUGAUACACUGGAACCUCCACCCCCUUCGCUGCACUCUGGCGGGGAGGCUGGUCCUGACGGCCAGCUGCCACUUUGGGAUCCCCCGCUGGCCCCCUGCUCCUGACACGUCCCCCCUGGGGCUCCCCUGGCCUUGACCACCGGCGCCCCCUGGGAAUCCUCUGAUUCGCUGGAAAGACUCAUGGAAUCUCUUGAGUCAUUGUCAUCCUCUUCCUCGCUGUCCUGGGAUUCAUCCCCAUCGCUCUCCAUCUCCUGCCUACCCUGUGCCUCUGUCCCUGAACCCCUGACAAGUACAUUUAAAAAUAAUUUCAUAGGUGAUACAGUGGUACCUCGGAUUAAGUACUUAAUUCGUUCCGGAGGUCCCUUCUUAACCUGAAACUGUUCUUAACCUGAAGCACCACUUUACCUAAUGGGGCCUCCUGCUGUGGCCGCACCACUGCUGCACGAUUUCUGUUCUCAUCCUGAAGCAAAGUUCUUAACCUGAGGUACUAUUUCUGGGUUAGUGGAGUCUGUAACCUGAAGCAUAUGUAACCUGAGGUACCACUGUAUAUGUAUGGCAUGAAGGUUAUAGUGCUGGGAGACCAAGGUCCGAAUUGCCACUCAGCCAUCAAGAUCCCUCAGAGAGGGUUGUUGUGCGAAUGGAAUGGGGAAGAGAACCAUGUAUACUGCCUUGAGCUCCUUGCAAGAAAAAAGUGGCAAAUAAAUAAUAGAAUCAGAGAAUUGUAAGGAACCGCAAGAGGCAUCUAAUCCAACCCCCUGUGGUACAGAAAUCAUUUUCCCAAUGUGGGGCUCAAAACCAUGACCCUGAGAUUUAGAGUCUCAUGCUCUGCUCUGAGUGAGCUAUCCCAAACUUCCUAAUAAAUAAAUAAAUACAUAAAGGCCUAUGGCUUCAUGCAACCCUUGAUGGUAAACAAACAUGUGAUUACAUUGCAUGACAUAUUGUUUAAAAAGCUAUUUGGAUAUUUAAGAUUGUGAAAAUCUUCAAAACAACCCAACGUGCUGUGUCACUAGAUUCGUUUUUCACAUUGAACUUCAAACAAUGGUUAUUUCAAUCACUUGCAAGGUCUCUGCGAUACCUGAUGCCAAGGUUCCAGUUCUUUGUGAGCUUGGAAAGCACAUCGGCUCAGCCCUUCUUCUGCCCUCACCUUCCUUCUGCACCCUUUGCCUUUGCUUCGACCUGUAUUGAAUGGCGUGCCCCUCCAUUACUCACCUGUGCACCAACACUUUGGAAUGUGCUCUCCCACUUUUAACUCCGUAAUUCAUUGUAAGCAUGUUUUAUAGAAACAUUUAUUUCAGUUAAGCAGUCAAGCUUAAACAGAGCUUUCAGUUUUAAAAUGAUUUAUUUCCAUGGAGGUUAUUGGCGAAGCCUAGUGAGAGUUAUUGCCUCUGCCCUCCGUGCCCACUGCUCUCGCGUCAGUGAGCAAUAGUGUACUGUGGCUUCACUCUGUGAUAUCACCACAGGAGACUACAGCUACCCACUCAUUUAAGAGUUUGCACCUCCUGCCAGAUGCAAGGACUGAUAUAGCUACAUGCCUUAUUAAAAACACAGUAGCUGUGUCGUCUUUACAAUGCCCAAGUAUAUUGACUGCUUUUACAAGAUUUAGAGUCAAAGAGAGUGGAAUUCCCAUUUCUUCUGAUUGCGUAUAUAGGUGUUUUUAGAGAGAGGAAAUAGACAGGGCAAUAAAUCAUUAGCUUUCAUUAGCUUCCAAUAAAAUGGAUUUCUAAAGCUAGGUGGGGAGAGAUCAAGUUACUUCUGCAGUUUCUAACUAGCAAUGGUACAUUUGCAUUACAGGUCCAGGGACUCUACUGCCGCCUUUCCAUAGUUCAAACCAUGCUCAGGGUGGUUUAUGUUCUGAUAAAACUUGCAUAUUUACAAACAUAACCCAAAGUCAUCAGCAUCUUCAGAUCCUAUUGGUCAGCCAGAUAUAGAAUAUAGCCAAAAACAAAUACAGUUGUACCUUGGAUCUCAAACGCCUUGGCUCCCGAACAAAUUGACUCCCAAAUGCUUGAAACCUGGAAAUGAGUGUUCCGGUUUUCAAACAAUUUUUGGAAACCGAAUGUCCAGUGCAGCUUCCGCGACUUCUGAUUGGCUGCAGGACGCUUCUGCAGCCAAUCGGAAGCCACACCUUGGUUUUCGAACGGUUCCGGGAGUAGAAUGGACUCCCGGAAUGCAUUCUGUUUGAGAACCAAGGUACGACUGUAAACAAAUAACAGACAGGUCUCAAAAAUACAUUAUAGCACAUAUGACAUUAUAAGCAAAAGUCGUCAUACUAAUAAAUAAAACACAUCAACAAGUACACAUCCAAAUUGAACAAUUUACACAUAAAUAAUAAUAAGAACUAAAAUAAAGAUGCAAAAGAUUAAUAUCAAUAACAGCAACAACCCACCCCAACAAAAAGCCCUACCCCAGCCCAAGAGUCUGCUCAGCAGCCUCAGCCUUUGUAGCUGGAGUCAAUCAGGACCUCACCCUCCCAGGCCAGUUGAAAAAAGCCUACAAGGCAGCAAGCAGGUCUUCAAGGGCUCACAGCAAGAUGGUCUCAAGUUAUGAAAAUAAUUCAAAUUAUUAUUCUUGCUUGCUAUCUUUGCCAAGUCUUCGAAGCAUGAAUCACUCUAGAAAAGACAAGACGAGCUUGGAGGACUUCUCCAAAACUUUCUUUAGCAAUACAUUUACCCCUGAAAUUCAUGUUCAUUACUAAGCUCUUCGUUCAUGACACCCUUGCUCUGAGAGAAACUAAGUACGAAAGGAUUAGCAAAGCUCCUUGGAAAAAGCUGGCACUUUUCAAACUACCCAAGGUAGACUCCAGCUGGCUUAAAGUUUACUUAUAAAGGAUUAAGUAAUUAAAAUGAAGGCUGAUAUUUCCAAACGCUCUGUUAUGCACCCAAUUCCAACUUCCAUACUUUCGGGGUGUGAUCAUGGAAUUGAGGAAUGCAUGGCACUCCCUUAUGGAUGAACAUUAUAAAAAACACAGAAAAUUUGGCUCAUAAGCUUCAGCUUGUUAGUGAAUUUUCAACUGUGUGAGGUGGUUCUUUUUACGGAAUUGGUAGGUAGUUUUGUGAUCUGUAGAUGUUAAAUCAGGCAUAUUGGGAGCUAAUAUUGGGCUGAUGGCUACUCUAUUGCAAAGGGUCCUUGGGACUGGAUAAAAGACCUAGGUUUUCAAGAUGAACACAGGUCUGGAACACUGGUAGAGUAAAAGGAGUGUUGGGGUAGUUUUAGGGGGAAAGUGACCAGAAAUGUAGGGGUUAUGUGCCUCCUUUCUCUACCUCCUCUGAUGCAAAGAACCUCCUACCACUGUAGGUUAACAUUAGAUGAUGGUUGUUGGUUAACAUUGGGAAACCCAGCCAGAUAGGUGGGGUAUAAAUAAAUAAUAAUAAUUAUAUUAUUUGUUUAUUUGUAAUUCACUUGCCAUGGCUACCAGUCAGAACUCAUGGAAAAUGUAGUCCAAACUACCUUGAAAGCAUCUGGUUCUGGAUGGCUGCUUCAAAAUAUGCACCUCCUGCCCUCACUCCAGAGCUCUCAUCGCACCGUGAUGUGAACAACACAAGCUCUAGUGAUUUGCUCCAAUAAAAGCAGGCUUCCCAUUCACUUCAAUGGAAGGGGUAGUACCACACACAUCCCUUUGUAUGAACAGAUCCUCUCCUCCAGUGAUAUGAACAAUGGUACUCUUGCAUAGUGGGGAAGUUGAGAAACUCCACAUACAUUUUGGAGCUCUCACACUCAUGUAAACCAGCCAAGGUGCUAUUAUUAUUAUUACAGUAUUAUUAUUAUUAUUAUUAUUAUUAUUAUUGACCUGGCCUUCACACUAAGGUUUCAGGGCAUGUUACAACUAUUUACUAUACAGCUUAAAGCAGUUUAAAAACUUACAAUUAAAAAAUGCAGUGACCAAAAAUAGGUGAGCUCUGGAAAAAAUACCGUAUUUUUUUGUCUAUAAGACACUCCCAUGUAUAAGACACCCCCUAUUUUUGUGGACUCCAAUUUAAGAAAAUGGGGGAAGAUCUAUCCAUGUAUAAGACGCCACCAAAUUUUGGACAUUAUUUUUCAGGGGGGGAAACCUAGUCUUAUACAUGGAAAAGUAUGGUACAUCUCAGGUGUCAAAGGCCAGGGUAAAGAGGUGCUAGGCCAAGAUAAAUUGCUCCAGAACUGUCUGUUGGGUUCCUCAUUGUUUAACGGUUGCAUCUGGCACACCCAGUGAAUUUCAUGCCAUAAUUAGAUGAUAUAACUGUCUCAUGAACUCUGUGCAAUUGACCUCAUCUCUGUAUUGUUUUUGCAGUAACCCUGUUUUUGUUGAAUGAUAUGGGCACAGAUCCAAUUUAUAUUGCAGUCCAUAAGUUACGCUCGCUUAUUGCUUGAUGGCCCCAAAUGAAUAACCGACAUCAACAGAAGUAAUUAAGUGAUUUUCCUUUUUAAACACAGUAGGCACUUUGCACUCAGAUACAGAAUUUAUUUCCACGAUUAACCAUUUCCUACCAGUAUAUCUAUUUUUUACUUCUUCGGUUAUCUUUGUGAGCUUGUGUUUAUAAUGUGUCAUUUAGGAUUCAGCCAUUAGUUUACAUUUGUUGUCCUUUGCCUGAAAAUGCAGCAUCCCUUUCUCUCGAAAACCUUCUGUUGUAUUUAUACAAAAUUUCAUGACUUUCCAUUCCUACUGUGAUAUUCUAUUGGUUGUGCAUAUAAUUCUUUUAUUUUAUUGUCUUUGUUGUUUUUGUUUAGUCGUGUCCGACUCUUCAUGACCCCAUGGACCAGAGCACGCCAGGCACUGUGCAUAUAAUUUGUUUUAUUUUAUUGUCUUAGAUUACAUAAAGAAAAAGGCAACAAUAACAGCUGCUGUCCAUAAUAACCAAAGCAGUCAGAGACUGACAGAUAUAAUCAAUGCUUUUCCUGUGUCUUGUAGGCAGAUUUUGUCUAUGGUUUAUACAAGGAUUUAGGGCAUGGCCUAUAUUGGUAAGAGUGUUAAAUUAAGACCAAAGAGACAUAAGAUCUCAUCUCCACUUGGCGAUGAAUUCCACAGGUGACACUGGGCCAGUUAAAAUGCCGCAGCCUAGCAAACUUCAUCAGGAUAUUGUGAAGAAAGAAGAAGAAGAAGAAGAAGAAGAAGAAGAAGAAGAAGAAGAAGAAGAAGUAGUAGUUUGGACUUGAUAUCCUGCCUUUCACUCCUCUUAAGGAGUCUCAAAGCGGCUAACAAUCUUCUUUCCCUUCCUCCCCCACAACAAACACUCUGUGAGGUGAGGCUGAGAGACUUCAGAGGAGUGUGACUAGCCCAAGGUCACUCAGUAGCUGCAUGUGGAGGAGCAGAGACACGAACCCAGUUAGCCAGAUUACGAGUCCAACACUCUUAACCACUACAUUGUAAGCCACCUCAAUAUAAGGCAGAUUCCAAUGUUGUUAUGACCUUUGUGCCUGUUUAGAGUUGUCAGGAGAGCCAGUCAUGGAUCCUGCACAUCUCAUCUGUUCUGGAGUUAUCCUAACCCUAUGAGCAUCCUAUACAAUGUACAUUGAUGGCCCUGUUUAAAUAAUUUUUAAUAUAUUUCUGACAUUUCCCCUACCAACAACCCUUCCUCUAAGCCGUACAAGCUAGUAGCAGUAUAGAUGCAACAAAUCUUUAUUCACUAUGACUGUUGUUCUACAGCGGCUAAAAACCGAAACAAAAAUUACCCCCGGAAUGAGUUAUACCAUGAUUCAAUUUCAUGAAGCAGAUUGUUACUUGCAAUGUUUAUUUAGGAAUUAGCAUGCAGGGUUUUUUUUGGUCAUAGUCUUGAAGCCUUGCUAGCCUGUAGACUCACAGUCUAACAGGUACAACACAAAAGGGGGGAAGAAAUGGAGGCAAAAGAGGGAAUUUAGGGAGAUGAAAGAGGGAUUUAGGUUUGAUGAGGCCCUAAGCUACUGAAGGUAAUAGGGCCUUUUAUAUGUCCAGCUGUCCCUUGUCAACAACAAAUUGUCGCUGUUUUUUGUGUUGUGUUGAAUAUAUGCUAUAUGGUAACUUAUGGACCUAAUAGGUAUCUAAAGCCAUUUGCACAUAACAAAAUAUGUAUUGUAUCCAAGUAAUUGUUGAACUGAAAUACAAUUAAGAAGAAGUAUAUUACUAGUGAAAUACAAUUAAGAAUUUUUUGGGGGGCCCCACCCUAAGCUAUAGCUUGUUUAGCUUAUACGUAAAUCCAGCACUGAUUGGAACAGCUUCUCCUUCACCGGUCAAUGGAUGGGGUCAGGUUGGUCUCUCUAUUGCCACGAAGUUCUUCCUGGGAGGCUUCCUAGAUCACCUGGUUGUACUUUGCAUCCUUUCAGCCCCAUGGGUCUCUGCUAAUAGGCACUUAUAGCCUAGUAUCCUCCUUUUCUAUGCUAUAGCCUCUCUGCUAUCUACAGAUGGAUGAUCCACCCAUGAAGUCGCUUGGGCUCCACUCACAGUUCAAAGCAGCUGGGAAUGACUGUUUGACACCAAAUUCAAGAAAUAGGCUCCAUUCCCACCAAACCUCCUUGCAGCUGCAGAGAUUUCCCAACGCAGCAGCAACUAGCUCUGCCAAAAGCAUCACAUUCAUUCAUACCUUUAAAUAUAUUGCUUUCUUCAUGAAUUGGAAUAAAUAUGUCUCUGGCACUCAGAGGAAGUUUUCAGAGAGAUGAACUUUGAAUAGAUGUCUUGGCUGAUGCAGAUGAUAACGGAGUAGAUGGAAACUACCUACCUACCUACCUUCUCGGUUUUCCCCCUUCCCAGGGCUUUGAGUUUAUCUCCACCAGCUCCUCCUGGGAGGAUUCCAUCAGCCUUGAUGCUGCUCAGGAGACAUCCACACGGAGACCCUGUAAAUCUCAGAGAGCUGGAAGCAUUUGAGGUCUUGAACUUUAUCAGGUUUGAAUGUGCGAUUGUGAAAGUAAAGAGCAGAGAAGUGACAGCACUCUGUAAAUCAAGCCAGGAGGAGAUCAACGCUGUCAGAGGCAGGACUUUGUCAAAGGCAAAAGCAGGAGGAAGAAGCUCAUUGCAGGAGCCAUUAUUAAUAAGAGAGAGGAAUAGAAGAGAAGAGAAGAGAAGAGAAGAGAAGAGGGGAAUGUCCUCUGAAAUUUGGAGGGGUUUUUUUCUACAUCCUAGAGAAAAAAUGGCUCCUUGCUUUCUGAUAGCCUUCACAGAUGAUAUGACUGUAUUUUUAAAAAAUAAAAAUGAAGUGUCAAGGGCUGGGGGCAUGUUUUAAAGGAAUAUUUCAUUAUAUGUACUGUAUAUACUUAAGGAGUAAUCUUUCAGACACAAGGGUGUCAGCAAUUGUGCAAGAGUAGAACAUAGGCACGCGGGUGGCGCUGUGGGUUAAACCACAGAGCCUAGGACUGCCGAUCAGAAGGUCGGCGGUUCGAAUCCCCGCGACGGGGUGAGCUCCCGUUGCUCGGUCCCUGCUCCUGCCAACCUAGCAGUUCGAAAGCACGCCAAAGUGCAAGUAGAUAAAUAGGUACCGCUCCGGCGGGAAGGUAAACGGCAUUUCCGUGCGCUGUUCUGGUUCGCCAGAAGCGGCUUAGUCAUGCUGGCCACAUGUACGCUGGCUCCCUCAGCCAAUAAAGCAAGAUGAGCGCCACAACCCCAGAGUCAUCUGCGACUCGACCUAAUGGUCAAGGGUCCCUUUACCUUUACCUUUACCUUUACCUUUACAACAUAGGCACAUAGGAAGUUGCCUUAUUCUAAGCCAGACCUUUGGUCCAUCUAACUCAGUAUCGUCACUCUACACUGACUGGCUGCAGCUUCUUCAGGUUUUCAGGCAGGGCACAUUAUCAAUUUUACCUGGCGAUACCAGGGAUUAAACCUGGGAUCCUCUGCAUUCAAGGCAGAUGUUCUACCACUGAGCUACAAGGAGAGUUUCCAGAAGGGGAAAUAUUGGCUAUAUUGCUCUAUUCAUGCACCAAGGGUGCUUCCAUGUAGCAGGACUUGGUACUACUCAUGUAUGCAAGUUUUGCACAGCAUCCAUACAGCAGCAUUCUCAUCAAGUUGCCAUCCCAUAUUAUUCCCAUUUAAGGAAGUCUGUUUCCACAGAAAAUCCGGUAAGUUUUCUUUUCUUUGACUGCAGAAACUAUGAAACUGGGUUAAUGGAAGGUGGAGGGUAUAGAUAACAUUUUGAUGAAGAUGAUAUCAUAUGGGCAUCAACACUUACAUGUAAGAGCAACUCUGAGGCCACAAUAAACUGCCAUAUUAAAAUGCCUUCAUUUGUUUUUUAUUUAGGAAGGUGUAUAUACUGCUCAAUCAACAACAACAAAACAACUUUAGUCGAUUUAAAAUUUAUGCAUAUUUACUCAAACUAUUUGCAAUGGUGCUUACUAAGUGUGCAACCUAAUCAUUAUAUGAUAAAACCUUUACAACUAGAACUUUUACAACUAUUCCCAUUCUGGUGCUUACCAAGAACAAGACAAUAUGAUCAGACCAAAAUAAUACCUGAGUACAGGAAAAGGUGUCAUUGAACUGGUUUAAGCCACUGUUGAUACAUGCUUUCGAUAAAUAAAUUGUGCCCUUUAGUCCAUUGUUUCCCUUUCUUCAUAGCUGAACUGAGAAACUGUUGUACAGAAUGCUGGUCUAAAUGUUUUACUCAUCAAAGCUAAAUUACAACAAUUAUUUCAUCCUAGUGAGCAUGAGAUUACAGUAUCUAAUUUAACCUCAUCGUUUUGAGAAGAGGUUUAGAAUGAGAAUGCUGUUUAAAUACAGGUCUUGUUUUUAAAGAUGAAGAAAAAUCUAUGUCUGAGAGGAAACGAACUUCAAGGGGACCUGGCAGGAGAACAUUUUAACUGUGUCAGCAACUUACAUUAAGUUCCUUCAGAGAACAGAUUUAUUUUCCUCCAUUGUUUUUCUCCCUCUACAGAGAUUUUAAAAUGCCAGUAGCUUUUGCAUGAGUGAUGCAUGGGCAAGAACCAUGAGAUCUGAGCUUAAAUCAACAUGCCCUUUUUGUGAUGAUGGUAUCUAUAAGGUGCUUUUUUAAUAAAAUAAAAAAUAAACUUAUGCUCCUGUAUUGGUUUUGUUUUGGGGGGCUACCUCUAAAACUGUAACAUAUGAAUGAGUCAAAGCUGUGUUUAGAAACAAAUAUACUUAUACAAGCACACUCUCCCUCUGAUGGAAUUGGCAGUCUUAAUAUUCAGGGGACUCUCCCCACCCCUGAUUGUCAUUUCCACAAGCUAUGUUUUAUUAAAGAUUAACCACUAAGAAUACUAACCAAUACAUUUUCUCUUUGACCGAAGAAAUAUCUAUGAUCACAAAUGCACUGUAAAUCACAUUUUUUAUAAUGAUAAUGAUAAUAAUAAUAAUAAUAAUACCGUAAUUUACUACUUAUACCCCACCCAUCUGGCUGGGCCUCCCCAGCCACUCUGGGCUGCUACCAACAGAAUAUUUAAAACAAUAAAACAGCAAACAUUAAAAACUUCUCUAAACAGGGCUGCCUUCAGAUGUCUUCUAAAAGUCAGAUGGUUGUUUAUUUCCUUGACAUCUGAUGGGAGGGCGUGGACGCCACUACUGUGAAAGCUCUCUGUCUGGUUCCCUAUAACCUCACUCCUCAUGGUGAGGGAACCACCAGUAGGGCCCUCAGUGCUGGACCUCUGUGUCCUGGCUGAAUGAUGGGGGUGGACACGCUCCUUCAGGUAUACUGAAGUAUCUUAUAACUGGGAUAGCUUAGGCCAGCUGUUUUAAGAAAGCUUUUUGAAGGCAUAGCAGAGGGUUUUCUGUUCUUUCAAGUGAGUGACAAUUUCUUUCACUUUCUGUGGUGAGUCAAGAACCUCAACAUUCCAGGUAAAGGGAUUAUAAUGAAGAGAAAAAGGUUUCUUGGUCUCAAGAGCAUAUUUUUGGAGCUGAGACUUCAUAUCUAGAGUGCUCUUCUACAAAAUAGUUGGUCUGGAAGGACUGGUCUUGAUGAGGCUGGAUGGCCACCACAUCUGAGUUUGUAUUGUGGCUUCUUUGACAAAGCAUAAAAACUCUUCAAAGGUCAGAUUCAUGGGCGUUUCCAUACAGCAGUCAGAAAAGAUGCACAGGCAGUUAAAACGUUCCUUUGUAACAAAAGAUAAAAGUUUCUAAACUAUUGGUAGAGAAAAGUGUUGGUUUUAGACUCCAUCCUGGUCUGAAACAAAAAUAGCUGGUUAAAGCCAUGGUUAUAACCAUGCAGCUGGAGCAACCAGCUCAGACCUCCUUACAUACUGUAUGGAGAGUGGGUCUGUAAGGUACUUUCAAGCCAUCACCUUCCAAAAUGUCUUUGCUAAUCUUUAACACAGAACUAAAGCUCUAACUGACUUCUCAGUUCCACCACCCUCUCCCUGGGGAAUCCUUGAAAUAAGUGUAUUUACGUUAAGGCAGCAUAUGUCUAUAAGAUAAUAAAAUGUUAUGUUUGUUUUCUAUUACACAUUAUUUGAUCUUUCAUAGAGCACUCCCUCCAACCUUCUAAAUAUGUGUGGAAAUCACCCAAAAGCACAGAGGGUUGACAUUUCCUUUACAAGGAUGAGAUGUCAUGUGGUUUCUGGGGUUAACCCACUCAUCAAAUAAAACUACAAGACUGAGCCAUACUAUAUUGAACAAAACAAUAUUCCAACCAUCCGUCUCCUGAGCUGCUUCCAGGGAGCCAGCAAAAUAGCUUACCCACCACAAUCUACUAAUUUUUGUUGUUGUCACCCACUUAAAGAAACCUUGUUUAAUUGUAGAGCAUGAGUAGUUUGAUCAAUUCAUUCAUUCAUUCAUUCAUUCAAUUUGCAUAAAGUUGCCAAUGUUGAGAUUGGGAAAAGGAAAAUUAUAUUCCGUAGCCUCCUCUGUCUGAAGUGCUCCCUGUUUAGCCUAGGCUUUAUUUAUUUUUUGGAGAGAAAUAUUGUACAUUAACAUUCUACAAAAAAAAACCCCAACACCACCUUUGGUGAUUCUCUUUCAGAGCAGUGAUUUUCAAAUUGUCCCAUGGAACCUUGUGGAUCCUCACAGGUUUAUUGGGAUCCUCAAGGAGAGAGGAUCAAGCAAACUGGAUGAAAUUUCCUCCAAGACAGUCCCACAAAAAGAACAAUAAGAAUAAAAAAAAUACGACAUCUAAAAUGAAAAGGGGGGGGGAGCAUAGAACUCCAAUCCAAAGUAAAACAACAUUAGAUACAGAAUGAAAAACUCACAUUAAGACAUUCCACAAAACUAGGUGAAAAGGAGCACUUUGGCAUGUCACCAAGAUGUAUACCAUGCUGGUAACAGGUGAACAUCUGAUGAGUAGGGCAGGUUCCAGAUCCUGGAAGCCACUACCAAGAAGGCUCUUCCACAUGCCGCCACACCUUGAACCUCUGGGUGGCACAUGGAAGAGAGAUGUUCCUGCAUUGCAGGGGGUUGGACUAGAUGAGGUCCAUUCCAACUCUACAAUUCUAUGCUUCUAUGAUUCUUCGUAUAGCAACGUCAUGCCAUAAUGAUAUUCCACACUUUACAGCAGCUCUUUCCAUUAGUUAUCGCUGCUGCAGUGAGUGACGUUCUGGAUGAGAAUGCUAAUAUUUUGCCAUUCCAUUCAUUACAACUAUUGUCAAAAUAUGGUCCAGCGUGGAGUAGCUAAACAAGAGAUGCAUCUCACGGAAGUCAAGAGCCAAAUCCCCGUUUAUUUAUUGGCAGGCAAUUACAUCACGGUGGCAGUCAUGCCCACAAGAUUGCCAAAUUCAGCAAUAAAGAUAAAGAUGACAUCAGCAGCAUUGUUCCUAAAAUGUGAUUCAGCGCAGAUUCCAAAUAACAACACCAGCUUCUCUCGUGGGGGGCGGGGGACCCAAAGCAUGCCGGGAGUAAGAUGUCCCCUCUGGGUAGAUAACCAGAAUAGCAACUUGCAUCAGGAGCCAGGGAGGCUAACCUGUGGGAAAUGAGACUCAUAAUGUUACAUCUGUUUAUCAAAACCAGUAGCCCAUUGACCUCAAAGGGGCUGAUUCACAGCUAGAGAUGAUAACAAAACUUCCCCAGUCAGUCACAUGCAGACUGCAUCACAUGCAGUCUCCAUUUUGUCACGUGCUGCGUUUGGGGGUGGGGAAAGGACAAUAGAAACCAGAAGGAAGGUGUGGAGCCAAGUUGCUUAGCGUCAUGGGUGCUGGUCUUGGAGCCGCCAGACUGCAGCAGCGAGGAGAGACUGGCUGCGGUGCUGCUGUAAUAUGUCACAGUGUGUGGAAUCACACUGGCAUCACUGUAUGUCACUUGAAGUGUCACAGUUCCUCCAAAGUGAUGUGGGUGGUGUAAAUGGCUCCCCCCCUUUUUUUUUUAGCCUGGCAGCAACCAUGUGAGAUAGGUUAGCCCAAGAGAUAGCAAUUGAGCCAGGGUCAACACCAACACUUUGAAUUGUGCUCGGAAACAUACUGGGAGCCAAUGUAUAUUCUUUAGUUAUAUUAGCCAAUGUUAUAUCGUCCUGGCAGCCACUCCCAGUCACCAGUCUUAUCUGCCGCAUUCUGGAUUGGUUGCAUGAAUUCUGGGCUUCCUCUUCUGGAAUGAAAACCCUGGGAGAUCAGGGUUUGCAUUGCCAUGGAGAGAGCCUUGCAUACAUACAUCUGUGUAUAGGUCCCCUUCAGACUGAUGCUGAACUGCACAUGAGCUGGGGCAUGACCAGUAGAUUUGCUGGCAUCUAGAGGGCAAGGCUUAGCAGAGCACUUCCUUCAUUUCUCUGGUGGCUAAUCGACUGGACAGGGCUACAGUGGAACUUAGGUAAUUCUGCUGUAAUUGUUUUCACUGACACACCUCUGUUUUUAACCAUUUACAGAUGUCACUUUUUGAAGCUAUCAAGACAAAUAACACCAUGGUUUUGAGCGCAAUUGGCAUGUUAUACAUGCAUUUUAAUGUAUACAAAAACCACCUCUGGAUAGUGGACAUGACAUUGGGCUAGAUAGUACUGUUUUGAUGGUGGUGUUAUACAAAAACCACCUCUGGAUAGUGGACAUGACAUUGGGCUAGAUAGUACUGUUUUGAUGGUGGUGUUGCCUUGUCCAACAAGCUAGGCUUCAUUGGUCAUUUGGUCCCUUCAAUAAUUGUAUACUGUGGUGCAGAAAAUCGGGCUCGGCUGCACUGCUGCUAUGCUCUGAGUGGUCAGCUAGUUGCUCCAUCACACAGCCAGAUCCAUUUUCAGGCUGUGUUGAGGCGUGUGGGAAAAGGUUUACUAAUCGCAGGUUGAAAUUUGAACUAAAAAUGAAAACAAGGCUGGAAUAAUGCCCUGCACUGCGGAUAAGAUAAGAAAAGCUAACAUUACAGCCAUUUCAAACCUAUAAAGUUCAAUGAUUAAAAUCACCAACUGCUCUGAGCUUGCGGCACGUUGUGGGAUGGAGUGCUCAGGCCAGUCUGCGCUCCUCUCUCACGCAGCCCUGACAAGGAACUUAGACUGGCUUGCUUGGAAAGACAUGCCACUGAAAUGACAUAAGAGCACAAGAAGAUUGUGCUGGAUCAGGCCAAUAUCCCAUCUAUAUUCUCACAGUGGCCAACCAGAUGCCUUUGGGAAACCUGCAAGCAGGUUUCCUCUUGUGUUUUCUGGCAACUGGUGUUCAGAAGAUUUCCGGUCUCCAUCUGUGGUUCCGGUCAACUGGAAAGAUGUCUCACCCAAGGAAUAGGCACAUUACUGUUGUUGUACAUGUUCCAGAACCACAUGAAAGUUGCUGCAGUGCCCACAGGGCAAGCUUGCAGGCACUUCCCCUCUCUCCACUCUCUCCCUAUAAGCUUACUACUGUGCACCAAUGCAGGAGGCCAGAGCUAUGCAUUUUAUAUUUAUUUCCUGCAGAGAUGCCCCAGUCAAAGAGCUUGGGGUUGGUACCCAUGGUCCUUUGCUUCCCAACUCAUUCUAUCUUCAGAACAGUCCUGUGAGGUAGGUUACACGACAAGGUCCCCAACUACGUGGCCAAAUAUGCAGAGCUCCCCAGUUCCAAGCUGACUCCCUAAUCAGAAUACAUCAUGUCACACAUCUUCUGUGUCACUUCAGAAGCGAGACAAUUAUAAUGCAAGACAGCACAGUGUGUGGCCCACCAUGCGAAACACUGUGCCGUGUACAGCUAUGGCACUUUUUCUUUCUUUCAGGGUGGCUGCUAGGUUGCAUUUAGCUUGAUGGGUCACAUAUUGUACAGACAUGUUGUAGCAUGUAGACAUGUGCAGAGGAGCAGGAGUGGGAGCUUUCAACUGCAAGUCAGGUCAUGGGGAAUGACAGCCUGCGUGUAGGAAACCAUGUCAUGUCUGAAGGUUUUAUGUUUUGAUUUUAUUCUGUGAACUGCCCUGAGAACUCCGGGUAUAGGGCGGUAUAUAAAUUCAAUAAUAUUAAUAAAACACCUAGAAAGGAUCAAUCAUUAAGUUGACUACUUAUUAGGUGUAUUGCCUGUAGUAUCAGAGGCAGUGUGUUUCUGAAAACUAGUUGUUCAAGAGCACAAAUAGAGAGCACAGGAGCCAACUGCUAGGGGCUGCGGUCCCUUCACCCUCCCCCCCAAUAAAUAUUUGAAUGGGUCAGGAACCCCCCCCCCCCCAAAGUUGAUAGACAUCGCCAUUCAAAUGGUGUGUGUGCCCCACAUCAUGUGGUCGAUUAUGCAGGCCAGGGCUUAUCUGCCCCAUCCCCAAUAUUUUAUUCACGUUGGCACCCCUUUUAGGGAGAGUACUGUUGAGUUUAUGAUCUGCCAUUGUGAUAACAGGGUGCUGGACUAGAUGGGCCAGCAGUGCACUCCUUAAGUUCUAAUGUAGGGUUUGGAUUCAGAUGACCUAAGAACCUAUCUUUAUUUCUAUGUGGUCAAUGCAUUGCCGCUCUUGCAUCGCAGCUCUGUGAGUGCAGCUUUCUACCAAUUGAAGUGCAGAGUAUUUGAGGACCGGUACAUUUGCAGGGAUAGGACGUGGGUGGUGCUGUGGGUUAAACCACAGAGCCUAGGACUUGCCGAUCAGAAGGUCGGCGGUUCGAAUCCCCGCGAUGGGGUGAGCUCCCAUUGCUCGGUCCCAGCUCCUGCCCACCUAGCAGUUCGAAAGCACGUCAAAGUGCAAGUAGACAAAUAGGUACUGCUCCGGCGGGAAGGUAAAUGCCGUUUUUAUGCGCUGCUCUGGUUCACCAGAAGUGGCUUAGUCAUGCUGGCCACAUGACCCAGAAGCUGUGCCAAUAAAGCGAGAUGAGCGCCGCAACCACAGAGUCGAUCAUGACUGGACCAAAUGGUAUGGGGUCCCUUUACCUUUACUUUUACCUUUACAUUUGCAGGGAAACCAAAAUGCUUGUUUACAAAGCUAUCGUACUACCGACCUUACUAUAUGCUUGUGAAACAUGGACCACUUAUAAACGCCAUCUCCAACUCCUCAAAAGAUUCCAUCAAUGGUGUCUCAGAAAAAUUUUACACAUCACUUUGGGAAGACAGGCAAACCAAUGCCAGUGCACUGGAAAAAGCAAAGAUCACCAGUGUCAAAGCAAUGAUUCUUCAACAACAUCAACUUGGUUGGACUGGUCAUGUUGUGUGGAUGCCUGAUUGUCAUUUUCCAAAGCAACUACUCUAUUCCAUACUUAAAAAUGGAAAGCGUAAUGCUGGUGGUCAACAAAGGAGUUUAAAGAUUCUCUCAAAGCAAGUCUAAAACACCAACAACUGGGAAACACUGGCCUGCGAGUGCUCCAACUGGAGAACAGCCUUUACCAAAGGUGUCAUGGGCUUUGAAAACGCUCAAACUCAGGACAAAAGGGAGAAACGUGCUAAGAGGAAGGCACAUUUGACAAACCCUCACCAUGAUCAACUCCCACCCAGAAACCUAUGUCUCCACUGUGGAAGGAUGUGUGGAUCCAGAAUUGGCCUCCACAGUCACUUAUGGACUCAUUGUUAAAACCGCGUUUAUGGAAGACAAUCUUACUUGAGUGAUCGCCAAAAAGAAGCAGCUGAAGCUCUUAUCUUGGACAGUAAAGCAACAAUUUGAGAGGACUUUUCACUUCUCUCUCUCUCUCUCUCUCUCUCUCUCUCUCUCUCUCUCUGUGUGUGUGUGUGUGUGUGGAUUUACUUCCCAGAGUUUAAAGGGCAGGUUUUUUAAAAAUGAAGGUAGCCUAGACAAAAUAUUUUCCGAAUGUAUCUUUUUCCUUUGAAUGCAUUUCUUGAUUUGCUGUCUGGGGGAGUUCUGAGAGUGGGACUCCUCGCAUCCAUUGGGUGGCCUUGAUAACCCUGCCUUGGCAAGGAGUGCGGAUAAGAGGAGGGGGAGGGGAAGCCCAGCCCAGAGCCUGGCUCUCUCCGUCAGGUCCGCUCUUAUCAGCCUGCUCGGAGCUGAGCAGCAAUUUAUUAAGCACAGCGUGUUACAUAAACACAGCUUGAAAAGAAUGCGCGUCUCCCCUUUGAUAGCUACCAAAGUGACCUUUCGUUCUCUACUUAAUGCAUAGGCCCAGCCUGGAGACACGUUGCCCACGGAUCCCAGGGACUUGGCACCGCGCCCUGAUCCUAACGCCGCCGCCACGUCCCAGGUUCCUGGGGCGCAUUUCAGUCUCACGGGCUUCCGAGGAUUCAGAGAUGCGCAGCGCAGAGCAAUCGAAGGCCGGGUCUCAUCCGAGGCACACACACGACUCCUCUCCAGCGCAAAAGGGUUACACAUAUUUAAACAUUAUUAAAAUUACAGGGAGUUAGAAUUUUAGCUCGACUGUGCACUUCCAAGAAUUUCUUCCGUUUCUUUCUUUUUUUAAAAUAAAUUCUGUAUUCAGGACCCCAGCAAUAAAAGUAAUGCGAUGAUGAGGAUGAUAAAUUUUGAGGUGUUUC
RNAcentral lists this long non-coding RNA (73213 nucleotides) under Podarcis lilfordi (Lilford's wall lizard). Lineage: Eukaryota; Metazoa; Chordata; Lepidosauria; Squamata; Lacertidae. The record is from RNAcentral.